RNAcentral lists this long non-coding RNA (46863 nucleotides) under Phoenix dactylifera (date palm). RNAcentral's name for it is "long non-coding RNA (PDAC_LNC000722)". Lineage: Eukaryota; Viridiplantae; Streptophyta; Magnoliopsida; Arecales; Arecaceae. The record is from RNAcentral.
AAAGAACAAGUGAGAUGUUGUGAGAAUGGCAGAGUGAUAGCACAAAAGUGCAAGAGAGCUCAAGAACAUUUACUUGAAGGAUACCUUGGAAUUGAUUUGUAUAGACGGGGGUCACUACCUGCUGCCAAGGGACUCGGGUGUGCGGAUUGACCGUCUUUGGUAGCCUAUUAUACGUCCCGAAAGUCGUGGACGGGCGUUUUAUUCACAUAUCAUGCUCCGCACAUCUCGCCAUUGACAUUGAGGAAACCACUCGUGAUCGUAGCUUAGGUGUUGCCAGUUGGAAAAAGAAUUUGAAAUUCGAGGAGCUCUCCGUGUGCCUUUAUGACGAGCUCUAGUUGGUCGGUCUGCCAUCUCAGCUGUGGUCAAUUAUGAUGCAUAUCAGGACCAAAUAAUAGAGAAUCUCAUUUAUUGAUUACACUAUUGUAUUCUACGAUUCCCAAGUUCAUCUAACUUAUAUCAGCAAGUUUUUUACAAUUUGGGUUUAGUUCAGAUUUGUUGGUCGUAUCAGUAAAAGAAAAGUUUGAGUUUCUUGCUCCCGUGGAGCAGAAUGAGAUUUUAUGACUACAUUGGAAAACCUAUUUUUUGCUCUCUUUCUCCUUGCCUAAUGAACUGGAUUGCACCAUAAAGAGAUGGAACACAGGAACGAAUUUAACGAGGUGAUAUACGAGAGUUUGAUCUAUGGGUUACGAUUCUGGAUUAUUUAGUUCUCUUUCUUCUUCUUCUUAGUCCAUACUGUCUUUCGUUAGAUAGAUUCUUUUUAGUACAUAUUUUCGUAUGUUAAAUGGUGAGAAAGGUUUUAAAUUUUACAGAUAUUAUUAUAUUUUUAGCAUAGAUCAUUGUUCAUCCAUAAAAGAAGUUACUUUUAUUGGCUAGCAUAGGAAUUUGAAUUUAAGCAAUUAUUUGUUUAGAUGAACAAUAAAAAUAUUAUAUAAUGAAUUUUUGUUAUACAGUAACUUUUAUACUGAAAAGUUAAUCAUCAUUAGAGAGCACCCUUUUCUUAAACUCUUAUUAUUAACAUAAAUAACAUAUUGGGAAGAGCCAAAAUUGUUAAGGCAGCUAUGAUUAAAAUAAAAGAAAAUUUAAAAACAUAGUUCUUUAUUUGAUUAUUAUUUUACAUUCAAUCUCUAGCCUCAUAAUCAACAUCUUGUAUUUAGUCCUAAUUUAAAAUCUCGAGCUGGCUACCACUUGGAAUUAGUUUUGGUCAAAGAAUGAUUUACCUUCUCUCACCAUGUUAACCGUUGGAUCGAGCAAAACCACUUUGACACCUGUGCCAAGAGAUGGAAGAAAAAAAUUGAAAAACUUUAAUAUCUAUAUAAGAUGCGAUCCAAUAUUUAGACAUUGCGUGAAAACAAUACCCAUUCUCUAGCACCGUCGGGCUGUCAGCUGCAGGGGCAGAGCUCAGGGCAGCUUGGAGGGUAUUUUUUUUGCAAGACGGAGAUUAAAAGUAAAGCACAUCAUCCUGAAGGAGGACUCGGCCAUAGUAAUAGAUUGGAUAUGAGAGAAGGAGUAGAGGGGGAAUGUGAGCCCUCUACUCCAUGAUAUCAGGCAAACGAUAGAAGGAUGCAACGCUUUUCAGAUAGUACAUGCCUACCGAGAGGCGAACCGAGCUGCAGACUAAGUUGCUAUCUAUGCAGCUCAGCAUUUCGAAGAGAUUCUUUGGACUCAUCAGGAGGUCUUUUUUGCACCGUUCUUGAUUUGGUUGGCUACCCUAUUAGAGUAGGAUGAGCAGCCAUUGUGUAAAAUUAUAAACAAAAACAAAAAAAAAAACUCUUUGGAACUGCGGAUGUAUGGGUUGCUUAAAGAAUACUCGGAGAGGGUGGGACCACCGAAUGGAUUCCACCACAAUUUUGGUAAGUGGGACGACCGAAUGGAUUCCACCACAAUUUUGGAACAUACCAGUGGUCCAAGAAUCCAAUCACCGAACGGACCGCACAGGUUGACUGUCCCCACCACCAUUCACUGCAGGCGGACCAAUCACGAGCCAAGGAACAGCAACUGGUUACAAUCCAUCGCAUAACAAAUGGUUGGAUCUUUUUCGCAUUGCGACACCCUGUCGCUGUGCCACCAAACAGGGCCCUCUCCUUUCUCGCCCCCAUUAGGGACCUGCUUGUCAUUAACUCAAAGCUCGGGGGCUCCGGACGGCAAAUAUUCUCUCAGUGCCGGCAACUUGACCUGGCUGGCAUUUGUUCUGCCGCGAUCUAUGUUGUGAUCGCUGUCGGAUCGCUCCUCCUCCGGCCAGGAGCUGACCUCUUUCCGGUGACCGAUUCGUAACAGCCACCAAGGACAAGCUAUGAAUUAUUAUAACAGGCCAAGUAAAAAUUUUCCUGUGGAAUCUAAAUAUUUUUAUUUUUUAGAAAAAGAAAUGAUUAUUCACUUGAGUUUAGGGUUGCAAAUAAAGUAGUAAAUUGUUCUCAAAUAGCUUCUUGAUCUUGAAGCUUGAUUAAUUUGCUGUGAAUUUUCAAGAGAAUCAAUUGGUGAUACACCUGAGUAUAGGUUUAAGAGGCAUGUUAAGAAUAUAAUAUAACCAUAACUUUUUUUUAUGUUAUUUAAUUUAAGUAAGCUUUCGUCGCCUAUUUAAUUUCCCGGCGGGACGAGCCUUGUUAUUUCAAAAAGAAAAAGACUACAGGUGCUUGAAGAGCUUGCUAGAAGGAUGAUGGUGAUAACGUUGUGACAAAAAGCAUUUGAAGAAGUAAUCGGAUGAUUAAUUUCAUAUAUAUGCCAUGCUAGAAAUACUCAAUGCCACAUGAAUUUUAAUUUCCAUGCUCUUCGUUUGGCGGAGAGUUCUCUUCUCCCAGUUCCUUUUAUACAUUAUUAAAGUUCUCCAUUGUUUUUUUUUAAAAAAACUACUAAUUCCCAAAGACUGCAACCUCCAUCGAAUAAUAUAAACCACAAUCUUUGGAGUUAGCCCUCUUAAUCUGAUCUCAUCCCUCCUAACUCCCAUGUAUAAAUAAUUCUCAAUUGUGUGUGUGUGUGUGUGUGAGAGAGAGAGAGAGAGAGAGAGAGGANNNNNNNNNNNNNNNNNNNNGUGUGUGUGUGUGUGUGUGUGUGUGAGAGAGAGAGAGAGAGAGGAGGAGAGAGUUUAGGUGGACAAAAAAAUAGGCUGCAAACAUGGCAGUGGCUAUGGAAGAAGCAGCAGAUCUCGAGAUCUCCGGCUGCAACUCCAACUCCACCAUCGACGACAAUGGCUGCGCAUGGACUGACUGGUCCCCGGUCAUGGACUGGGGCCCCCUCUCCGCCGACGAUGACUUCCGAGGCCUCAUUGAGUCCAUGAUGUGCGACGACCCCACCGGCCUCGCUCCCACAUCCUUUGAUCCAUACUGGAAUUCGAACCCGAGCAGCACCACCACCAGCGUUGGCACCUCGCCGGUGCAGGAGCCCAGGAACGGCGGCGACGAUAACGAGAAGGGGCUUCGGCUUGUGCACCUACUGAUGGCGGCGGCGGAGGCCCUCGCGGGAUGCCACGAGAGCCGGGAACUGGCUCGGGUGAUAUUGGUUCGGCUCAAGGAGUUGGUGUCGCCGGCCGGCGCCACCUGUGGCGAAGGAGGGACUACCAUGGAGCGGCUCGCCGCGCACUUCACCGACGCCCUUCAGGGCCUGCUCGACGGCUCCUCCGCCGCAGUCGGCGGUCAGCCAGCGUCGCACCGCGACGACCUCCCGUGCGACGUUCUGGCCGCAUUCCAGCUGCUCCAGGACAUGUCCCCCUACGUGAAAUUCGGCCACUUCACCGCCAACCAGGCGAUCCUGGAGGCGGUGGCGGUCGACCGGCGGGUCCACAUCGUUGACUACGACAUCGCCGAGGGCGUCCAGUGGGCGUCGCUGAUGCAGGCGCUCGUCUCCCGCAAGGACGGGCCACCGCCGCCGCACAUGCGGAUCACCGCCGUCACGCGGGGCGGCGGCGGGGCGCGGGCUGUGCAGGAGACGGGGCGGCGGCUGGCGGCAUUCGCGGCAUCUCUCGGGCUGCCCUUCACAUUCGGGCAGUGCCGGCUGGACGCCGACGAGCGGUUCCGGCCGGGAGGGGUGAAGGUGGUGAAGGGCGAAGCCGUUGUCGCGAACUGCGUGCUGCAGCCGCUGAAUGCGGCGGGGACACGGCGGGGGCCGGGGUCGGUGGCGUCGUUCCUAUCAGGGGCGGCAACGCUGGGGGCGAGGGUGGUGGCGCUGGUGGAGGAGGAGGAGCAGGAGGAGGAGGAGGGGGAGGGCGACUUUGUAGGGAGAUUCAUGGGGGAGCUGCACCGGUACUCGGCGUUGUGGGACUCACUGGAAGCCGGGUUCCCGAUCCAAGGCCGGGCGAGGGGGCUGGUCGAGAGGGUGAUACUGGGGCCGAGGAUCGCCGGAGCCGUGGGAAGGGCUUAUAGGGGUUGUGGAGAAGGUGGGUGGGGGGAGUGGAUGGCAGGGAGGGGAUUCGGAAGAGUUGGUAUCAGUUGUUUCAACCACUGCCAGGCCAGGCUGCUGCUGGGGCUCUUCAAUGACGGGUACCGGGUGGAGGAGGACGGGCCUAACAAGCUGGUGCUGGCUUGGAAGUCUCAGAGGCUCACCUCAGCCUCCAUUUGGUCUCCUCCUCCUCCACCUCCUGCUCCUGCUGAUCUACUUCCUGUCGGUGCAGUUAGCAACAGCAUGGAGGAUUCUUAUCUCUUGCUGGAUUGAUUCCUUCUCCACCUUCCUUUCUUUCGAUUGGUUUUCUUCUGGUGCAAUGGAUUGUAUCCUCUCUCUUUCCUUUCUGGUCACUGUUUCAUUGUAGCAGCGAUCGGUAUUCUUGUUUAUGUUUGAUGUCAACAACUUUUGUCAAGUGCCAAGUGAUGAUGGAUAGCUGAAGGGAAGAAUAAAGGACGAGGUAUGAUUCAUCAUUCAGAAAGCUAUCUGACUGGGGAGAAUAGAGCGCAGCAUACUACUUGAAAAGAAUUAGGAAGGGAAAGGAUUCAAUUAUAGUGCUCUUUUGCUUCAGCAAUUUACUCUUUCAGAUGCCGAAAUCUAGUUGAAAGGAUUCAAUUAUAUCAAUCCAAAUAGUUGAUGUCUAUAUUGUUCAUAUGUGUUUAUGCGCUGUAUAUGCACCUAACUUUACUGCGAAGUUCUAGAGUCUCUCCUAUUUGGGGGACCACGAAGAGUGGCGCGUCAUUCCAUGGCGAAGCUAUAGAAUUACGAAAGGCACGCCAACAACUUGUUCGUUGUCUCUUCCUGGGUAUCGUCCAUGAGAACUUUUCUUUGUGUGUAUUUUAAUCUGGAUCCACGAGGACGCCAUUAGCGGAUGCUUUUCAUGGCAAAAACUUUGUGCUCGCAGAUGUUCGGUAGCUAAAAAAACUGUUAUGAUGAUUUAAGAACCCUUUUGUUGAGAAUAUUUAGAGAAUAUUGCGGUAUCUUCUCCUUUCAUGAUCUUAAUCUGAUGAGUAUAUAACAUGGAGUGGCAUAAGAUAUUUUGGUGUCAGCAGCGGCUAUGAAAAGGAAAGAAUACAAUUUUUAUUUCUUUCCUCCCUAUUCUUUCGUUCUUACCUUUAAAUAUAUGGCAUAGAGUCAUUUGCACUCAAUGGCAAUUAAAUAUAUAUGUCUAUGAGCUGUUUGAUUUGCAUACUUAUAUAAUAUAUAUCCGAUCCAUAAGUAUGAGCUAAAUAUUGUAUGUAUCUAUGCGCAAUAGUUCACAACAGCAAAUGCAAACGCUUUCUUUUAAAUAUUUUAUAAUUUAAAAAAAUAUAGGACUUGCCGCAUUGACUUUUCGAGUAUCAUUGUUUUAUCAUCUCUUCUUUUCACCAUUCAUCAAGGUGAGGUGAUGAAAAGGGACUCCUUUCCCCACCCUUGGUUUUUGAAAGGCUUUAUGUUAGUUACAUUUUCACAGUAAUUCUAAGUUGAUAAGUUGUUAUGGCUUAAGAAUAGACAAGCAAACGAUUAGGUGCUUUCUAGACAGCAAAAAUCUCUCGGUAAUAUUUCAAGAAAUAUGCUUAUGUUUUUCCCUUCUAAUUCUGUAACCAUAUCGUAUUUUUGUAAAUUUUUGGAGCCGUAAAUGAUAUAUUUUUUCUUUGUAAAGAAUGACAUUUUUUUAUUAGGAGAAAAGUAACAUUUCUUUGACAAUUUUUCAUGGUUUUAAACUACUUCUAUCACAUUUGUUUUCAGGUUCCUCUAUUGCAUCUAAUAUAUAUAGUGGCUAAAUAGCAUACAUGGCCAUUAAAUAUAUACUAUGAUUAUUAUUAUGAAUUAAUAAUAAUAUAUAGUGAUCAUGAAAGUUGUUAUUUAAUAAUAAUAAUAUUUUAUUAGCUUUCAUAAUUACGUAUACAAUUCUAAUGUGAAAGAUAGUAUAAUUUGUGGUGAGUUUUCAAACAACACUAUUAUUAUUAUUAUCUGCCAUGACACAAUAAUGAAAAAAUAUCAAAAAUAGUUUUUGGAAUUUCUAACCAGGUAACGAUUCAUGAUAAUCAUAUAAUUGAUAACAACUCGGGCUCAAGCUUUAAUAUAUAUUUUAUGUUAUCAAAACCAUGCAAUUUUUCUCUCAAUAAACUCGCAGUUAUAAACUCUGUUCGUUCACUAGGAAUGGGUUUUCCGUGCAUGGCAUGCACCAAUUCAUGCCUCAUUUCCAGGCAUAGAGAAAUUCAAGGUUGGCUGCUAAAGGCCAGAAUGUGGCUUUGGGGAUGCAAAUGGGCAGGGCCUGGUGAGAUUAGGAUAUCAAAAGCUUUGUUAGAAAAGUUAUCUGGGUCAUGGUCCAGUCCAUUUGCAUUCCUUCAUGGCUUAAUAUUUGCAAGGAAGUGUAGAAAUUCUGGCUCCAUUUUUCUCAUCAAAGACAGAAGGAGAACUGCUACAAAAGUUUAUGGGGAUCACAAAAAGAAUAAUAAAAAUGACAAUCUUAUGUUUGCACGAGAAAAAAAAAGAAAUAUGUGUCAGUUUUUCCUGAUUUUUGGGUGGCUUAUCAGCUAGUUAUAUUCACAUUUUUUUUGGCUUAUCCAAAUUUUGGUUUCCAUGCAUGGCUAUGAGCUAUACACAAAUUGGAAAGCAAAAGUUUUUUCCAUAACAGUAUGUUACUUCUUGUAUGUCAGCUUGCUUCUCGGUCGAAUAUUACAUGCAAAUCUCAUCUGAGUUCAGGUAAUCAAACCAAUUAAAAUUCUUUCUCGAUUGUUUUACAAAUGUGAGAAGCAAAGGGUUUAUAGCAGACUUUCUUGGACUUUGUGUGCAUUUCUUUCAUCCAAAGGUUUCAAUGUUUAAAAGAUAACUUUUUACAUAAAUUAUUCAUCGGAUAAGGAUAAAGCCUUUUAAUUUGCUUCCAAUGUACAUGCUUCAAGUCUUAUAAAAAAGACUUAGGAUUGAAUUUAUUUAUUUCCUUGCAGCCUUAGCGAGUUACAUCCAAUUUGAUCUAGUAUUUACUUUUAUCUUCCAAUUAGCUCAUGUCUUCCCAGCAUUACGUUUAAAGAUCACACUCAUUUUUUGUGAUCAAUAUCGUAUGUAUUUAGGUCUUUUCUACAAUACUUAUUGAAAUGGUGUUGGCUUGUUGAUUUCUUAUGCAUUUACCGCUUAAUUUUGAGGAAGAGGAUAACCAUGAAUGUAAUUCUUCAUAUACAAUCAUAUUGCAUGCAAAUCUAAAAUAAAAUCAAAUCAGAUAUUUGAUUAUCAAUGGGAGAUCGAUUUAUGCAAAAGAUCAAUUCACCAAUGCAUAAAAUUAAUCCAUAAAUCUAGAUAAAAUAAUAAUUAUUUAUGAAGGAUUCUAAUCCUAGCAUGGAGGCUCUGAUACUAAUUGUGACAACAUAAAUAAUAACAUGCUAAGAUUUAGAAUCACAGCAAUAGUGUAUUCAAGUUUGAGAGAUAUACCUGCAGAAGACCUAUUGAAUACGAUUUUUCAAUCAUCUGGAAUAAUAGCAGCUGGAUCUUUCCUUCAUUAUUCCUCACAAAAAAUAGCCGUCAAUGGGGCAAGCUAUCAACCAUAUGGAGAGGAGAGGGGGACUUAGCCUUUAUAUAGGAAAUAUAAGGGAGUCUUCUCAUUAAAUUAAAGGCUCCAAAAUCCUAAUUGGGUUUUCUGGCCUACAUACCAAAAUUACUACAAUAAAUAGGACUCAAUCUUAUACAUUCAAGGUGCACCAAAAUUCAUAAAACAAAAUGAUCGCACAUUAUAUUGGGCUUAACCAUAGUACCAUUCUAACCCAUACGUCUAACCCGUCUUAUAAAACAAAAAUACACAAUCAGUGUAAGCCCAUAUUUUGAAAUUAUUCUAACAAUUGAAAUAAUGCUAAGGCGACUUAAAAAAAUCACUGGCCUGGUUUGUUGUAUUGUCAUUGCUCCCCUUGAAUUGCCAUUGUGAAGUAUAAUGAAGCAAAGUGAAUGAUGCAAGAUACAUGAGUGAUUUUUCUGAGUUAUCAUAGCAUUGCUCUAUAGAAAUAAUGAAUGACUGAACAAUGGGCAUUAUUUGUUUUCGAAGAAAACCUAUUAUUGAAUUGCUUGUGGAGAUAUUAUUUUCAUCACCACCUUAUGCCGCGGCGUGCAGAGAUGAAUGCAAGACCUAUACAACAGAUUUAACAAUAGCCAUGUUGGCUUCUAUGAACCUCGAAAGUUUCAAUCUUGAUCCAACCUAUGUUAUUUGAAAGUAGGUGCGUAUAGAGGACAGUGUGGCCAUAGCUCACCACAGCAGCUGCUGAUCUGUUGGUUUGAAGUGGCAGGAGAUCAAGAGAUCAAAUUGUGGACAAUGACUCUUCAGAUCAUUUGUAUAUUUUAUCUUGUAAUUUUUAUUCAUUCAACAAUGAAAGAAAUAUUCUACUCCUUACUCCAUGUAGAUUGAAAAUAUAAUGAAUGUAAUAUUUGAUGCUUCUGCUUGAUUAAAACCAUGUUUUGUACUCUCGAUUAUGAUGCCAUUUCCAGGAACAUAGUGGCCAAUAUACAGAGAUUCGCAUGGUAAAGAAGGUCGAUACAGACCCAUAAGAAAAACAGAGCCUCUCAUCUCAAAGGUUAAUUCCACUCCACCAGAACCAAAAGCUGGGAGCAAACCAUCAUUUGGUACAGACCAAGAAGUAGGCUUGUUGAUGUGGUAGGUGGUGAUGUUUUCAUGGUGGAUGUCUCUUUCUGGCUUCCAUAUAUUGAGCCUGGUGCAGUAUCAGAGGGAACUUUGGUUUCUCUGGAGACCACUUCUCAAAGUAAUUGUCCAGAGAAAGUCCUUUCAUCACGUACGCCAAGGGAAAAAAACAAAAGAAUGAAAGGAGGAAGAAGAAGAAGAAGAAGAAAGAACUUUUUCUUUUUCUAAAGUUACAUGUUCCAAUUAUCUAAUUCGCUCUUACAUCACCUGCCUGAUAUCAAGUCAAAUUCCUCUCCUUUGAAACAGCUGAAAGCUGCCGAAACACAUGAAAAUAGCCUCCUCCGACAACGAGAUACACUUGCUUCACAUGAGUCACGAACCGAUGCCUUCAAGUAUAUAGUCUGAAACAAAGGAAAGAAAGGAGAAAAAAAAAUCCUCUGUAAAGGUUUCUACUAAAAAAAAAUCAAAUAUGAUGGCUAAACACAUUUCAAAAGAAACCCAAGCAGCAGAGAAGACAUCGUAAGGAGUUUAUGGAUCACCAAACUGCUCAUUUGGUUCAUUUUUCUUUCAACAAUCUGAUGAGAACAAUAUUCUUAAGGGUAGGUGAUGGUGGAUCUCCAUCAAAAGAAGCACAAGAAGAACAGCUUAUCAUCUUGGUCGCAUAUAUGAUGAUGAUUUCGAGACACAUGCCACUGCUGAAGGCCACUUGCCGCUGAAUGUAACAGGGCGAAGAAAGCUUUUCUUGUGAAGGGUGUGGGAUGGACAUGAUGAGAAAAGAAAAGCACAAGGCAUCCUUCUGAGAUGUAGGUCCUUCUCAACAUCACCAAACCUGACAACAGCUUAGCGACAAGUCCUAAUCACCUUUGAGAUCUCCAUAUCAAAAUAAUUUUAGGCAUCUCUUUGGAGGUCAAAAAGGUCGCGCGCCGUCUUAUGGAAUCACGUCACCACCCAUUUACUAUUGUAACACUCGUGGAAAGUUGCAGCUGGGAGUGGUUGGAUCUGAUUUGAACUGAUACAAAGAAAUGUAGGAGUGGUGUAUGUUAUUUAAGGUGGAAAACCUUCAAAGAGGACUUUGAAUUACCAAGUGGUUGGUAGUGUAAUAAUUUGAAGAGGUUCGGUUACUUGGAAUAUGGAUUUGAAGCUUAUAUUCCCAUUCGUGCUAAGGGUUUUAUAUUUAUGCCGGCAUUUUAAAAUAAUCCCCUGCAUUUGAAAACAGCUCAAUGGUCAUAUUAAGUUUUACCUCCCAUCAAAUGAAUUGUGACUUUGUCCUAAUUAUCACACGCCUCUGCUCAGCAUUCAAAGAUUCCAAGUUCGACUAAGUCUAUAAGUUUUCUUAUUGUAGCCGUGCUUCUUUUUUUCCCUGAGCCCUACUUUGAACAUAUUAUUGACAUUUUAAGUAUCUCCAUCUCAAGGUGAACUUCGAUGGUAGUGUGUCAGCAGGUAGAGACAAAGGAGGAAUGGAUUUUGUGAUCUGAGAUCACAACUCCAGAUUGAUUGAUGCAGUAAGGCGGUGCACUUGUAACAUGACAGUUAUAGGAGCGAAGCUUAGGGUAGCAUAGAAAAGUAUCACCUAUGCAAGAAGUGUUCUAGGAGCUGAUAGCAUCUUCCUAGAAGGUGAUUCUGCUAUAGUGAUCGAUUGGAUUCGAGAUGUAGAGCGAUAGAGCCAUUGUCACUCACUGUUUAAGGAUAUUCAAAGGUUAGUGAGAGACCGUAACUCGUUUCAAGCUGCUUAUAUGUAUCGAGAGGCAAGCAUGGCAGCAGACUAGGUCGCCUCCUUCGCUGCUUAUCAUUCUGGAAAGGUUCUUUAGACAUGGUCUGAUACCACCUUCCAUCUUUAUGUCGUUUCAUUUUUUUUGACUCUACUGAUUAUACUCAUGCUAGACUGAUGUGAACAAUCGUUAUACCAAAAAAAAGUAUCUGUUUCAGAUACUAGUUAUUAGCUAACCGUAAAAUUUAAUAUUUAUUGAAGUACAUGGCAUGCUAAUUUCGAUAAUACCUAGACACAAAAUGCAACCAUGGUAUGAUAUCCAUGGUUUGAUCAUAGAUUGAAAUUAAAACUAGCUCGAUCAUAUACGACGGUAAAACAAAGGUUUUAAAUACUAUUAUCUACAAUGUGAUUUUUCCAUUUCACAAGUCUUGGUAGUAAUUUAAUCCUGAUUUGUUUAUCUUAGUGAAUAAAUUGGUUACUUAGAAGAGAAUACCAAAGGAACCUGGUACCUUGGAUUCUAAUAAACUUCAUUGAGCAUGGAACAGAAGUGUGUGGCUAAGCACUUUUUGCACCCAGUGCUGCGCAAGUGGGACUUUAUAAAUGAACUCGCAUAAUUUAUCCAACUUGCAGCACUCUUUCUUCACCUAAUCUAUCUCACUCUUUUCUAUCAUGGAGACACCCAAAAUGCUGCAUAUGGUAAGUAAAUAUUUGUCCAAAAUCUUUCCAUACCACCUCCCCAUAAGUGUUAAAAUCACCCCUUAUCCUAAAAGCUUAAGCUUACAGGAGAGGUAGAUUUAUUUAUAUAUUUUAUAUUUUCUUACACUCAUCCUCACAUGUGGGCCAAACUUUGCUUUAAUGGGUGAGCCCAACAUGUGAAAUUUUUAUUAAUGAGGUUAAAGAAUGCGGAGACAUGAUUUGAACUCAGAAUACCAUGUUGAAAUUACCACUUAUCCUAUAGAAUGAGGUAGAUUUAUUUAUAUAUUUUAUAUAUUCUUCCAAUAAGUAUAUUGCAGUUAUUAAAAUCUAUGUAUCAAUAAAUAAUACAAAUACUCGCUUUGCUACAACGAAAUCCAGUGAUAAUUAUCUCCUUAUUGGUUUUAUCUCGAUCUCGUGAUCCAAAUAAUGGAAUAAGAAAGCCGCCAUUGACUAUCUAACAAUCAUAAUCUAAGGAGACGUUAUGAGCUGGUACAAGUUACAACUGGUUCUUAAUUGGUUUACAAAUAAAAAAAACAAAUCUUAUCUAUUGGCAUUAAGAUAUUGUUUGAUCUUAACAAAUAUUAUGAGCUGCAUGAGGGCUUGUCUUGGUAAAAUAAUAGCAUUAUGGGCAACUAAUAAUGGAACUAUAUUAUUUUGUUUCCAACUAAUAGUACUCCACAGUUCACUGCAGCAAAAUGGCCAUUGCAACACCAUAAAUCUGUACCAAAAAGCAUCUCUCCCCCUUGCCUCUGUGAUGGCCGCUUUUCAACUUAGACAGGCAUCUCUCCUGAAAGUAUCAUCAAAUGCUUUUGGCACCCCCCUUCUUCUUUUCUUUUUUUUUUUGUUUAUCAUGCGGAAAGCUUUUUUCUUUUGCUUCAUAAGUCGUAGAAAGACUAUCUGAGCAAGACAAAUCUCCCUGAGAAGAUUGUUUACCUUGAAACUCUGUAUGCAAGCCGCAUUUAGUAUGUCAGCAAACAGUUUCCAAGACAAAAUCCUGGUAUUUAAAUCUAAUGAAAGGUCUUGAAGAGUAGUUUAAUUGUGAGGUCCCACCUGUCGACAAACUAUGCCACCCAUGAGUGGAUGCCAAGGGUGGACCUCUGCCCGGAAACAAAGGUAGCCUACUCUCUGAAGGCUUCUUUUCCAAGCAAACUUGAAGUGCUAAGAACAUUCAAACAUAAUUAAUUAGCAGAGCAUCCAUCCCAUGGACCACCUCACUGAUCAAAUUUUUAUCUUUCUGCCCAACAACCUGCCCCUAAUGAUAAGGCCAGUCCUGCAGACCAGAAUGGCCUCUGAGACCCAGCAGAAUAGUUGGUGUCUCUCGAUGGACCUACUCCAAACAAAGGCCUCAGAGACUUUAAUCAGAUGGCAAAUUUGGAUAGACGCAGUCUACUGGAAUCAUGAACAAAAUUUUUGGGCAGGAACAUUGAAUCUAAUGCCGCAGAUAUUUGAUGAAAACACCAUGCAUGGAAACAAAGACUUUAAAUAAGGGGUGUGGGAAGGACAUGUGAUGAGAUAAGAUAAACAGAGAACAACAACCAAAUGAGUACUCUUCAGACAUGUAGUUCUUUCCUAGAUCGGCGAAACCCGACAACAUGUUUGCGACAAGGCUGAGUCACAAUGAAUAAUCAGCAGGUCAAUCAUACAUGCACCAGAAUUUUCAAAUCUGGAUGCUUCUAAACACACCUAAAAUCCAAGGCAACCCCCACUAGGGGUCAAAAAUAUCACAAAACAUCUUUAGGAGAACGAAUCACUAUUCGAUCGUUCUCCUAUAACAUAUUUAGGAGAUUGAAGGAGAUUGAGGGAGUGGUUGGAGCUGAUUGGAACUGAUACAAGGAGAUGCAACAGGAGCAUAAAGAUAUUCUAUUCCCUUUCAGAUCCAAGUUUCGAGAUGGUUUGGAUUUCAUACAAAGAUUGGAAAAAGAAUAUGGCUCAGAAAAGGCUAAAGGUAUAGGUGAAGCAAUAUAAAAGUUCCUAAAACAAGUGAGAAUCCACUUGAUGCUCCAAAAAGCUUACUGUUUCCCAUGUGCAGAACCAAAGGUAAUCACUAUCAAGGAUCACAGCACAUGAGCUCCCCACCAUCACUACUCUAAUUUGAUUUUUGACUGCAACAGCACAAGUUGUUGAAAACAAGAGAGAGUGAACAAACAAAGCAGCUCUGAGAGACUCAUAUUCAAAUCAUAUGUACAUUUUACAGUCAUGGGAGGGAUGUGGGUCUGUAAGACCAGACCCCAAGCAUCUGCUGUCAGUUUCUUCUCUCUCAAUCUUCCUUCUUUCACUCAGAUCGGGCAGGUAUUUGCCUGCCCGAUCGGUAACUCUCCGACAACCUUAUAAACUAGUAACUAAAACAUACAAAUUAAAAAAGGCGCCUGACCUUACACAUCUGGGUCACAAAAUUUUCCAUCCAUAUGGUUCUGGACAGCUUUGAUUGCAGCAACCCUAGCAGCAGUGGCUGCUCUAUUUGCAGCAGCGACUGCCUUAUUUACUUGGUCGUCUACCCGGGGAAGGAGAUUAGCAUUCUCUGCAGCCUUUCUUGCAGCCUAGUGGAAAGUAAAUUUUUUAAGAGUUAGAAUGCCGACUGAAGGUAGAGUUGAAUGGAUGCAGUCAUGUAAAUAAGAAUACCUGAAUAGCUCGUUGCACUGAAAGAUCUGAUGGGAGGAGUGGGGUCUUUAAAACACCACAGUCCCACUCCCCUGAUCUCAUCUCACCAUUUCGGAAUGUGUAUGUUCCAAAACCUUGUCUCCGGCCUUCAUGCCAUGAGCCCUCAUAGCAGUGGCCAUUAGCAAAGCAAUAGACUCCAAAACCAUGCAUUUUGUCUCCGAAGUACUCACCACUGUACCUAUCACCAUUCCUACAUCAAACCAAGUUUGAUCAUUUUCCAUCCACACUAACACAGGAUAUACCUUUAAAGUUGAAAAUCGAGAUUAGCAUCGAAAGUACAAUAAGCGAGCACUAGAACUUUCUGCCAAACUCGGUAUGAGAAAGUAAAAGAUAGCUUUAAAAAUCUCAGAUGUAAAGCAGAGCAAGAAAAGGGAUGUCAUUAAGAAAGUAUUAACUAAUCUGUACACUUCAAUAAUUGGUGUUCAGUUCACACAUAUCAUAAGUGAAACAAAAAAGGAACCAAAAUUGUGGGAAAGCAUAAGAAGCGAUUUAAAAUUCACAAUUUCAUUUAAAGAAAACAGUGAAUAUUGUGCACAAACUAAAGCAAGAUGAAAAAUGGACUAAGAAAAUCUUGUUGGAAACUCACAGGGUCAUCAAUGAAGGCCAAGUCUAUGAGUUUUUCUUCUUCCCCUUUUUUUUUCUGAGAAGAUAUAAGAAUUAGCAUCUCAUCCCAACACAAAAAAAAUUUCGAACUAUCUGAUGAUUCCAUUAAACCUCCCAAUCCAUUCUAGCUUGCAAAUGGUUCAAAUAAAAAAUCUCAAGCUCCAUCAAGAAAAUUUAAGAUCCAAAUCAGAAUCAGGGAAGGGACUAUUCCAACAGAACUAAGUCUCCAAUAAGAAAAUAUAGCAAUACCAUACAAAACUCCCUCCGAAAAGCCACAAACCGAGAACAAUUAGACCCAAAUAAUGAUUGACCCCAUGAACAAAAGAUGCGGGCAUCCUCUCCAAAAAGAAAAGGAGAAAAUCAAAGCAGAACCCAGAUCCCAUCUGAUCAGUGUUUCGAUCCCAAACAAGCCAAUCACUAAUCAUUAAUCCAGCACAAAAUUCUAUUGUUCCAUCGAUGUGAAUCAACACCUAGCGGGAUCAGCAAAACCAGAACUCGAUCAUUCCAAGCACUAACAUGUACACAACUAAUCCAUGAAACAAGGUGCAAGUUUUACGAUCUCAUAAAGUGAUCCAAUACAUCAAAACCCACGAGAAAAGUUAAAAGACGCAUCAAAAUCUAUAAAUCAGUGUGCAAUUGUUACCUGAAACUGUAGCAGCCAAGCCCAUGCUUAACUCCACACUUGAAUUGUCCCGCAUAGCAGCUACCAUCGGAGCAAGUCUGAACUCCACUCCCAUGGCUCUGCCCACCGAGCCACUCCCCGGCAUAGCCAUCGCCAUUAUAGAACCGAUACGUCCCGAAACCAUGCCGCAGUCCCUGACGGUACUGUCCCCUGUAUCGACUCCCCCUCGCCCAGCUCUCGACCCCAUACCCGUCAUACUUCCCAUCAACCCAAUCCCCCUCAUACCCCCCCUUCCCGAAAAACCUAUACACCCCGCUCCCAUUACACUUCCCCUGGUGGAACUCCCCCUCAAACACAUCCCCAUUGCCGUAAAACUCCACUCGUUCCCUCACUAUCCUCCCAAUCCUCCCCCUCCCCUUCCUCAAAAUCCUAUCUUCAUCGCCGAUAAACCACUGGACCGAGCCACUCCGCCUAGCGGCGCGGCCAAAGCUGAAAACUUUCCACAAGAGGGCGAUCACGGAUGCGACGGCGACAGCGGCCGAGGCGAGGAAGAGGUUCUCGGAGGGAAAAAAAUCUUUAAUUAAGAAGAUGAGGAGGAGAAGGAGAAGCAACGGGAGAGAGAGGAGGAAGGGGGUGAAGGAAGGGGAGGAGCGGGCGGCGUGGCGCGGUCGGGUGGGCUUCUCGUCGUCCGGGGCCUCUUCCGCCAAGGUUGAGAGGCUGUGGGGAUAGGAGCGGAGGGUGGGGGAGCGGAGGAGAGAGGCAGUCCGAGCUAGCUUGGACCUCGGGCUCUUUUGGCCUUCCAUGGCUUCUCCUCUCUUCUCUCCCACCACCCUUAGCUUCUCCUCUCUCUAAGAGGAGGAGUCAUGAGAUAAAGGAGAAGAGAGGUAGAGAAGGUAAAGGGGGGCGAAAGAGAGAGAAGGGAGGACAAAUUACUUGGGGAAGGGGAGGGGAAGAGAAUUUUAUAACGGAGAUCACACGGUAGAGGGAGCGUCCCUCAACGGGCGGAUUUUCUUUGGACCAGGCUUGGAAGCUUUGAGCUCGAGAAAGGGACUGUCGACUUCGAAUCAGACGGUCGGCAGGCGGUCGUUGGUCGGUUUUUUUUUUUCUGUGGGUAGUGGGAGCGGUGUUUUGGUUUGCAUUGGAGUCAUCGUCCUCGCGUUUGGGAAUUUUGGAUGGAUGGAUGGAUGGAUGAUGGGAGGAUUUUCUGGCCGUUGGAUCGGGUUGGAAUUUAGAUGCAGUUUCAUCGGAUCUGAAACGGGGGCCAUCACGUGCAAGAUGCGUGGCUUUUCUGAAUGUGCGCAUAGAGAAACUAUGCGAUCUCAGAUCUGCUAUCAUGUUUGGAAUUGACUGAGAAUGCUGGGUCUUGCCCCAAUCUUCACUCAUGUUGUAACCAAAUCGUGCUCAGGCUAACCCAUUUCAUCUUAAAUAAAGUUGAUCCGCUUGCAAAUAUCUAGAUUAAGAGGUCCGGUAAAAACCCGAAACUCCUUAAGUAUUUCAACUAAUUCCUACCAGUAAAUCUUAAUAUUGUAGGUUAACAUAUUCUUUUAUAUGCAUCGGUAAUUAAAAACUUAAUAUGUAUGUGAUACUAAUUCUUGAUAGUUUUUUCUUAUGGAAUGUUUAUAGGCAUUGGAAGGAGUGGAAUUCAAGAACAUUUACAUUUGAAGUUAGGGUAGAACUCAUAUAAUUAGAGGAAAAUUAAUUUUCUUCCCCCUUCCAAGCUAGUGAAGUUAGGUGAUCUCUAAAAAAAAAAUUCUAAUUUUUUUUCUCUUUCACUUUUACUGCGUUUCGUGUGUCUAUUAUUGAUUUAAUGAAAUCACGGGGGAUACCUUUCUCAUCUAUUUCUCGAAAAAUAUAAUAUGAAAGAUAAAUUCUCAUCUACUAAGAACAAGUAAAAUAUCAUGUAGUAUAAUAAAUAGUUAUUUAUUUUUAUUUUGAGCCACCGAAGCGAUGAAAACAAAAGCCGUUUAUCCCGUAUAGAACACUUUAUGCGGUUGCUCGGAAAAGAGAAAUGUCCGGAUAUCGGCGGGGUUAGGCGAUCCUGGCCGUACGGACGGGCGGUACGAUGCGGAAAACGUUGGGGGAGAUGGGGUAAUGAUGGCCGUUGGAUUGGGUGGCUAGCCCAAGGUUGGACGAGGGGAUGGGACGUGGGUUCCGAAGCUCACGUGGCAGAGACUGGGGGUUGGAGGCACGUGGGAGAGAGGACGGUCGAUUUUAAGUGGAGCCAAACCCAAGAUGUGGAUUUGGUCUAAACACUGGUAUUGAAUCCACAAAAAGCGGUAUUCAAAAGAGAGCAGUUGGUUGGUACCAGCACGAGGGAUGUGGAAAAGCUCGCUUGGUGUUUGGAAGCAAUAAAGUUUUAUAGUGCAUGUGGAGGAGGGUCAUUAACACAGCUAGAUAUGGGCAUCGAGCCGUGCCUGAGCCCGCCGGGCUACAGGCUAAACGGGCCGUGCCUGGCCCGGCCUGUUACUAAACGGGCCGGGCCAGGCACGGCCCGCUUAGCCUAAAAGUUCAGCCCGGCCCGGCCCUAGGCCCGUGGGGUGGCGGGCCGUGCCGGGCCCUGGCACAAGACGGGCCAUGCCUGGCACGGCCCGUAUGGCAAAACAAAAAAGAUGUAGAAGUAGAGGCGGGCAUUGGGUCGGGCCGCCCAUGGUCCGGCACAGCCCGGCACGAAGCGGGCCGUGCCGGGCUCGGCCCAUGGGCCAAGAAUUCUAAACCCAGCCCGACCCCCUUUUAUGGGCCGUGCUGGGCCAUGGGCGGCCCGGCCCAAUGCCCACCUCUAAACACAGCCACCGAGCCUCCUUCACAACCAGUAUCCUUUGCGGUGCACCGCACAAUGCUGUGCAACCCUCCAUGAUCUCCAUAAAAAUGAGCACCCUAGUGCAUGCUCGUAAAUCGUAAACUAUCUUAUUAAAUGACUAUCCAUCUUCUGAUGGCAGUCGUCAAGAGCUGCACAAUAUUUUAUGCUGCAGUGCAGUGCGGCAGCUAUCCAGCCUGCACACCGCAAAGCAUCCCUUAGGCUUCUGUUUGCUUAACGAAUCUAUGAUAAUUUGGCUCUAAUUUUUAUCUCCAACAAGUUUUAAUGCCUCAUAGAUCAUCCAACUCCGAACCCAGAGUAUAAUAGGUGCCGCAUCCUACAUGAUGGACUAUAUAAGCAUAUAAGACUACAAAUCAUAUUGAAAUCUCAAAGCAAUAAUAAUUUUUUGAUUCUUGAAAAUUUAUUUAAUCAUGACCUGAAACAAAAUUUUCUCAUAAUCAAUUACUCCAAAGAGACAUAAGUCAAAAUAUUUAUUUCAAAUAAAAUGUUUUAACUAUACAAGUCUAAAUAGUCUAAACUAGAACUCUAAUGAUUGUGAACAUCUCCAGAAAAUUUAGCGCACUCUCUUAAGUUCCGAACAAUCAUAAUUUAGGAUAUGAAAAAGAGAGAAACAAAAAAUAAUGAGCUACACUAGCCCAGUAAGUAAAAUAACACCAUAAAGUGAGGUUUAAGCAUGCUAAAUAAAUAGUAAAAGAGCUGACCGAAAAUAAAUCAAUUUUUGAAUAAUGUAUAUAUUUCUUUUGAAUUUACUAUUAUUUUUAUAAACAAAUACUAGAAAUUCGACGUCAGGCUAUGGCCACGUAACCUAGUGGCAUUAGUCAGAUAUAAAAUACACAAAGUGCCAAAUACCACUCUAAUCACUGAUGGUUUGGUGUCGAAAUCAAUUUCCCAGAUUACAAAUUGAUAGAGCGUAUGAAUAAUCUCCAUUAGCGGAGCUAGACCAUAGCCAUGUUGAAAAUACAUAUAUAUAAAACAAAUUUCAUAAUUUACCCAGUCAUAUUUUUAAAUUUUAUAACAUAAUACAUAACAUGCCCAACCUAUUUGACCAAGUAUAAAACAGAUAUCAUAUUUAAUAAACUAAUUAUUAUUUUACAAAAUUUAAAAAAUAUACUUUGAAGUAUUAGGUUACUUACCUCUUCUUUUUUCAAAAUUUUACUUGAGUUAGGUAGGUUAGAUUCACCUAUUUUAAUAUCAUUAAAAUACUAUUAAUUUUAUCAUUAUCUUAGUAGUCGAACAAAGUUAUAAAUUAAAAUAUUAUUGGGGAAUACGAUCUUAUGCCCAAAUUAGGGUGAAAGAAAGGCAAGGUCAAACAGGGGUGAUACAUGAGCUAUGAUUUAAGUAGCUUAAUAAAAGUCAAGGAUAACUAAAUUUUUGGGGGUACCUAACAAGGUUGAGGUAUAGAGUCGGUAGAUCACCAGGUACCGAGGCGGUUCAAGGCUUCCACCUUAGGGUCAACUUGGAUUUGAGCAAAGGGAGUUAGAACUUUGAACUAAGAUCCCUGGAUUUGGCUUAAAGAGAGAAAAAAGAAGAGGAGAGAGAGUCUCAGUCUGGGUUCAAUCAAGGGUCUCAGUUUGGUUAUCGGUCCAGGUUGACCUGGAGCAAUCAAUAUGUUGACCCAUGAGUCAAGAGAGAAAAAAGAGGAUUUGAGAUAUUAAUCCAUGAAUAAAUAAAUAAAAUGGAAAGAAAAAAAGAAUUAGAGGAGAAGAGCAGGAAGACAAGGAAGAGAGGAGAGAAGACCGAGGAAGAGUGGGUGCCGAUGAUCUGGCGGCUAAGCAUGGUGGAGCUGGUGAUGGCAUUAGUGGCCUCAGUGACGACCAAGGACCAUAGCUGGAGAUAGUGGUGACGGCUGGUGGGAAUGGUUAUGCUUGGCCAAAAUAGAAAAAGAGGAGGGGCAAGGUCCCUAGCUACCUCGACGGUAGCUUCUCGGCCAUUGCGGUGGUGCAUUUCAGCAUAUUGCGAUGAUAUAGGUCUCGAAAUAAAGAUAAAGGGCAACAGAAAAAAAUAGAGGAGGAGAUUUCGAACGGUGAUGCUUGGUCGAGGUGGCACGCCGACCACUGGAGAAGAAUGAGGAAGGAGAGAGCUUCAUGAUAGAUCGAGUGGAGGAGAAUUGGGGUUUUUAUAAAGAAUUUUAGGGGAAGAAGAUAAGCUUGGGUUAUCGGCGAAUCCGGCCGGCUAUUCGUUGGUUGCAGUGGCCUCCAACAACUACCAGCCGUUCGCAUCGGCUCGACGAAUCUCCACCGGCCAUAGUUGGGAGUGGCCUUAUCCCAACAACCCGGGGAUCAGGCAGAAGAGGAAGACAUCCUCUUCUGUUUCGAUCCCAAAAAUUUAUUAAUUUUCUAAUUGAAGUUGGUGGGCAUUGCUGGCUUCAAUAUGGGAUAGGCCUAAUUGGUUCGAUUCUCACAAUUAGUUUUAAUGAAAAGAAGAGUUGGGGUUUUGCCCUCCUCAAAAUAAUAGGACCAGCAAUUGUUCGCCCUCCUCAAAAUAAUCAUGGCCCAUUCUCUCCAUUCAAAACUGCAUGGUGAGAUGGACGUCUUUCGGAUCUGCAUACUGUUAUGUUGAUUUAUUUUUCCGACAAUCAUCGGUGGCAAUUAUUAUGAUGCUAAAAUGAAAAAAUAUAGAAAUAGGUUUUUAUUUGAAAAUUAUUUUUUUACUGUGUUAUAACAGCUGAUAGCAGUUUCAACAUAUAGCAACUUCGUUCAUAUAACAUUUUUUUCUUUAUUCCUUUACAUUUUCUAUUUUUUGGUAGCUGGUAACCAACUGUGCAAAUGAAUCAAACUGUUUAUGAGCAGGUAGGGCUCGGACUCAUCAGAAGGUUCAUUUGAGCUCAACUCAGUUAGGAAACGAGCCAAGCUCAAACAUGUUUCUGAGCUCAGCUCAUAAACGAACCAAGCCGAAAUAUCUAUUACUGGGAUUGUUGCUGGAAAUGGGAUCCGGGGGCGACCGGUCCGCUGGGAAGGAGGAGCUUCGGCGAGAACCGGCGGGCGGCGAUUCGUCGGCGGGCGGCGUCCUUCGGAAGAUCUGCAAAAAAGCCGGUGGCCGAGCUUUCCGGCAUCGGCCUUCCGAUGCUUAAGUCAGAGGGGGCCCAUAUGUGGAGGAGGAGAGAGGAGGAAGAUAUAUUUUCCCGGAUUUUAGCGUCCAACCCCCUCUAGGAUGGAGGGGUCCCCUUUUUAUAGGGGGGUUGGAUUACCUGUGAUGUGAUGGGGCGAGGUUGCCGUACGACUUAGCACGUCGCUUGAGUUGGUGCACGAUCAGGUUAAUUAAUAUCUUGAUGUCGGAGGUGAGGCCGGGAUCAGAGAGUGUCACGGCUGACCGAACGCUGCCGAGUUGAUUUGCCGUGAAGGACUGAAGAUCUGUAGGUAAUAGAAGCCACGCGCAUUAAUUGUGGAGUAAGUCGAAGAUAUGCAUUAAUUGUUGAGUGAGCCGGAGAUAUGUAUUAAUUGUUGAGUGAGCCGGGGGUUUUCAGAGACCAUGCGCAUUAAACGCUGAGGGCGGUGGCAGGGUAUGGCCUCUGACCGAACUUCAGAAGGAUGCGACCGCGGUAGGUGAGCGGCGAGGUCGGACUUCCGAGGUCAAGAGCUCUGAAGUUAGACGCCUUGUGGGGCGCCAGGUCGGGCGUCCGGGGUCGGACGAUUCCGAGGUCGUGGGCCGUUGGUGCGCUCGUGUGCUUAGGGGGCGACUUACAUUCCCCCAACAGGGAUAUAGUGAAAAAGUUCAGCCCGGCUCAACUAAAGCUCAGCUCUAAGACAUAGUCAAGUCGAGCUUGAACAAAUUAUGUUGAUCUUGGCUCGAGCCAGGUUGGAACAGCUCCUUUAUUUUUCAAGUUGAGCUUGAGCAGAGUAACUAUAGGCAACACUUAUGCCUUUCUUUAAAAAUCACAAGGUUGAGUUGGCAUGGAAGAGAUCCCAUAUCAUGUUGCUGUUUGUUGAAGUUUUGAUGAAACACAACAGGAGAGGGCCAAGGCCAAUAGCACUCGACAUGCACUCCGUCCGAAAAACAUGAAAAUGGCCGAGUCCGGUCACGAGUGAAGCUUGCUUUUUCUCUUCUUCUACUUCUUUUCUUCUUUUUAAAACGGGCAUUUCAUACAUCACAGAUACGAAUACACUUAAUAGAAUCGGAAAAUAAAAUGUCCCAAAGUGCUCCAGACAUAUUUCACUCCCCAGUCCAUACUCCAUAGGGUGCCUCCGGAAUGGCUCGCGACAUAUGUUGGGUUGGAAAAAUUUAAAUACGCACACAGCCCGAGAAUUCGGCCGCGUGCGAGUUUGAAUUUCGUGAAACGCUCGUUAGGGCGUUCGUGAAAUCACCGCGGGCGCAUCCGUGGAAGGCGCGGAUGCGUCCCAAAAAGACUGAAAUAUCUUUGCUCAAAUAUCCCUAUAAAUACCCCCUAUUUCAUUCUAUUCUAAAUACGAAGAAUUAGAAAAAAAUACCCGAAAAAUUCUGGAGAAAAGUUCUUCCUCAUAGCCACUUCUAAUUUUCAUUUUUGCAAUUCUAUUCGGUUUAUUUUAUUCUUUUUGUUUCGUUCUUCACUGGAUCUGUAAGUCCGAUCGAGUUUGAUUUGGCUUAUUCCGAGACAUACCGAAGAAGAGGUUUAGGGUCUUCAUAUUUCUGAGGAGGAUUGUCGGGAGAUCCGUACAUGGGGGCAAACACUUCUUUGAUACGCGCUUCGACCUGCCUUCAAUCAGGUAAUUUCCUCUUACUUUUGUUUUAAAUUUAAUAUUAGUAGAUUUAUAGGAUUUGUAAUUUUAUGAUUUGAAUUUAUUAAAUUAAUAGAUUUAUUUUGUGCUAGGAUAGAUUUCUUUUGUGAUAAAAUAGAUUUAUUUUGAUACCGAAAUAUAUAUAUAUAUAUAUAUAUAUUAUUUCUUUUAAGAAUUUCUAUUAAUUAUAAUUAUUGGAUUUAUUUGCUUAGUUAGGUGAUAUAUUGCUAACAAGCCGCCACCUAGUAUGCCGCCCUAUUAGCCUCAUGAUAUAGAAAUAUAGUAUGAAAUGUAACUCCCUCUCUCACCAGCAUCCAAAUGUCACAAAGUAGGGAAUGAACUUCUCCGUCACUGCUCGAGUUCCUACGGACCCAGCCAAUCACCGUGGCCGAAUCAUCUUUCAGUAGAACUAAACUCGCCUGAAGAAACCGCCAUGCAUAAUGCACGCCCAUCCAAACCGCCCGCAUCUCAAAAAUCAAAAUAUCGAAAAUCUGAUAAUCCUCUACUGCCACCAUCCUAGAGAUCAGACUUUCGGCCCCUGCUCUUUUGCCUCCAUUCAAAGAUCAGGCCAUCAAAAUUGCCUCACACCCGAUUCAAUACAAAUGACAGGUAACUAAAAGUAACGUUGGGGUGGACGCGGUCAAGAAGAAGAGAUAAACAUGUCCCUUCUUCUUUUAUUAUAUAGAAAAGAAACGGGCCGCAAAUUGCCACGGCUUGGAACACGGACACGUUUACACCACCUCGGCCUUGUCGGACGACCGAUAAAGGGAUGCGCUCGGCCCUGGACACGGCCAAGAGAUGGACAACCAAGCCGAGAACGGACGAAGAAAAACGAAAGCUUUGUCUCGGCUCAGAACCUCUACCCACCGGCCUGAGCGGUUGGCCGUAAGGCCGGAAAAAUGAAAGAAAACGAGCCAAAUAAAAGGGUGGGUCCUAGGCCAUUUCUCUGGGCUUUUCACCCUCAAGAUGCAUGACACAUCUCAUUAUUGCAAUCAAAUUGAGAGAGAGUUGCAAUCAGGUGAAGCGACAAGACAUUAGCAGGAACACCACGCAUUGAAUUGAUACGAACAAUGAAAUGCGCCUGAAAAUGCAUCUGGUUGCUAAAGAUUUUGGGUAAAGGACAAGCUAAGUAAAUUUUAGAUAUUAAAAUUCUAAAAUCAAUUAUCUACAUAGGAAGAAUGUCUAUAAUUGCAGGUGAGGUGUGGCCGAUAGUUUUUAGGAUUGGCAACCAAGCCUAGAUUAGGCAGAGUCUGCCCGGGUCAAGAGAGAGCACCUUUUAAUGGGUAAAUUUACUUUGGAGUGCCGAGGGAAUUGGAAAGCUGGGGAGAAAGCCCACUUUUUCUUUGAUGGUAUUAGAAUUUCUUUGCAAACCAAGGUUGGAGAGCCAUUUUCUUAUUGUAAAUUUUAAUCAAUAAGAGAGAGAAGGAAUCCUGACAUGCUUUGCUCAAUUUUAUUUUAAUUAAAAAAAGAGAAAAUAGGGUCCAUAUCUCUUUUUUAUAUUAACAAAGAAUAAAACUAAACUUACUUAUCUUUGCUUAUAUUAAUGACGUCUUCGCUUGCAUAAUUGAGAUUGAAUUCCUCUUCUAGAUACUAAAGUUUUCUGCAAUAAAGAUGAAAAGUAAAAAUAAUCAUAAAAAGGCUAAGAUUCUAAGACAGAUAGAUCUCCACUGUUACAUCAACUUUCUCUUCAGCUAUAUAGCCUAAAUGCUAGAAUUUGAACUUCAUUGCUCAGCCCAUCUUCUAUCUUAGGCUAUCUCUAAACUAUUAGGUGCCCACUUAGGUUUGACCAAACAUAAUCCUAGACAUGUAAUGAAUAUAUGCUGCUUUUUUUUUCUCUCUCUCUCUAUGGAAUUCGGGUCAGCCCAUUCCAAAGCUACUAUCGAGUAUUUUUUGAAUCCAAAUUACCCAAAUAGGCUCAAAAGCUUGUACUUAACCCACAUUCCUAGAUAACUGGCCCAAGCUUGCUUUGUAAUCAACCCGUAUGUAUGGUCUAAGUCUAGAGCAAUAAAUUGCAAGUCAGUCAGGUUGGCCCUGUUUGUGCUAGAAAGUUUUCUUUCCCCCGCUAAUAGAUCAAAGACAUGUUGCAAAUUUUUUCUUCAAUACUUUUUGUCAUAUACUUAAAAUAUAAUAACAAAAUAAUGCUAAGAAAAGAAGAUCUGGGAUUACAAAUUAAGAGAUAUAAAAAGAAAUAGAAAUGAAAAAGAAAAUGCGGUAAUCUUGAACACCAUAUCUAGGCCACUUUUAUUUUCAGCAUUUUUACUUCGUUCUAAUUAGACAGCCUUGUAUCCCAUCAAAAAAAGGGACAGUGUUCCCAGUCGCCUAAAGUCAAGCUUUAAGGAGCCCAUCAUACCACCAUGGUAACUAUCUUACAGUCCUAAGGUAGGUUUGAAUGGUUCCCUGAUCCCAUGGUGACCAUUGGUUUGGAGGUAGAAUCGAAAUCCAAUGGACUCAAGUAACCAAGUACCCAUGCGAUUAGAAAAAAUCGUCACCACCUGUAUGUAUGUAUGUAUGUAUAUAAAGUUUGGGCAAGUUGUAAUUCUGGUCAGUAUUUACCCACCCUAUUAGAGAAAAGGUGAAAAAUUUUGUUCAAUAUAUUGAAAUCAUAUUGGCCAAUAUCUCAAGAAUAUCCCUCUAUUUUAGCUGGGAUAAUAAGCUUAGAUUUUAAAAAUAUCGAUCGACAAGAGCCCAAUAUUGAUAUAAGUCAGUAUCUUGGCUAAUAGUAACAGGGACCAACCCUUGCUUCUAUGCAUUUUGUUAGAAGCCAACACUCCAAAUUUAGAUUUCCAAUACAACCAUGCUAGCAUGGCAAAAUAAGAAGUCAGGAGGGAUGUUUUGAAGACAUUUUCAAGUGAUAUAUUUGAAGUGCAAUAUGUAGGAUGUAAUUUAUAAGCGGAGAAAACCAGCUUAAUUGGUUAUAUCUUGAAAACAAAAUUGCCAUUCCAUAAAAUCAUACAUGUUAGUAUAUAGCAUACAAACACCUGUAUGUUUAUAUUAUAUGAAUGUAUGUGCAUAUGUAUGCAUGUACAUAUACGAGUAAGCAGGUGUGUAAUGAUCUCGAACAAAAGAGAAAAAUGGAGUUCUAAAAAAUAAAAAUAAAAAAGAGAAAAAAAUGAUCUCAGAAGGCAGAAAUGAAACAAUAGAAAGUUUAAAAGUGUUCAAGUACUUGAACCGUGGGAAUAUGUUCCAAAGGAUACAGAAGUAAAGAAACCGUACCACCCAAAGAAAAUCUCAGCUAGCAUUACUCAUUGAAGGGGGUACAGUAGUGAUCCCCUUUCCCAUCCCAUCAGAGAGCCAUCCACUCCAUCCAUUAUGUCGAUCCAACGGCCAUUGCCACCUCCUCAUGAAAAAAAAAACGAGAAAUCUGGAUUUAUUCCCUCCAAAGUUUUCUAAUUAGGAAAAGGAAUCCCUGAUCACUUGCACACUUCCCAAGUUAUGAUUGGAAGCCAUACAUCCAUGAAAAAGAGAACUCCAUGCGACGACGAAACAAUCCGAUAGCUCUUGUCGUUCGCCACCUCUUGAGCCAAAGCAAAUAAAUAUUGAAAACCUGUGUUUGUGUGCAAUUAUAGGAACUCCAAGGAAGAACCUAAAACCAUGUAGCUCCAUGGGAUCUUUACCUAUCGGACACCUACUGUCAGUAUCACCUCCUCUAGAUCUCAUCUAAAUCUAGAGAGGGGAAAUAUAUAAUAUUUCUCUAGCAGAAGCUCCAUAGUUUGAAGUCUCCCUCCUCAUCCGACUCCUCCCAAGGAGAGAUCGACGGGUUGAUAAUUUGAUCCACAAAUAUCGGUGACUGGAAUGCUCCGAAGUCGACCCACCAUUCCUUUUCCAUGGUGCUCGCUACGCAGCUGCUCGAGCUGGUCGUCGUCGUCGUUGUGGAUGGAGAGUAUUGGGUGGUGUCGGAUGGCGAAGAUGGAGAUGAAGGGGAGGGAGGAGACGGCGAUGGGGUGAUCGCAGGGCUGAGCGUGGAGGUGGUGGGGGUGGCGGCGUUCGCAGCGGCAGCAGCGACUCUCUGGAUGGACUUUGGGGAGGUGACAGUAUUGGGAGGGUGGUAGGGGAGGGAGGUGGGGAAGUUGAGGGCGGCCGACGAGCCCCUGAGGCAGAGGAGGGCGGCGUCGUAGGCCCUCGCAGCGGCUUCAGGGGUGGAGUAGGAACCCAGCCAGAUCCUGGUCUUCUGGUGGGGUGCCCUGAUCUCUGAGACCCAGGAACCCCAGCUCCUCAUCCUCACUCCCUUGUAUGGCCUCUUCCUAAUACUUUCCACCCUUGGUUGGAGGUUGGUCAUGGUGGUGGUGGUCAUGGUGGUGCUGAGAAGCGGGAUGGAAGACUUGGGAGUAUGAAGGACUCUGCUGCUGCCGCUGCUCUUCACCAUGGAUGGAUGAUGAUGAUAACGCACUGCUGGAUUCUCCUGUUUGUCUACUUUUGCUCCCUUGCUCUUUCUAUGAUCUUAGUGGGAGAAGUGAAUGAGAUGGGUGGCCUAUUUAUAGGGGGGAGAAUGGUAGUGUUGAUUGCAUAAAUCUCCAGAAAGUUCUCCAAAAUUAGACAGCCAAUUACUCGAAAAUCACCCAAGCAUAUUUAAGGAAUUGCGAAGUAUAUUUUUAGAAUCUAUUAUCGUAAAUUUUCUUUUAAAGAAUUAACAAAGUAUAUUCUUGGAAUAUUUAUACAAUCUAUUAAAUCUCAUUGCAGGACAGGCAAGAAAUUCUUUACAACUUCAGUUUCUUUUCUUUAUGGUAUUAAAGCCUAUUAUUCCUUCUUGCCUACUGAAGUUCCUACAGACUCGUAUGGUUCGCAGAAAAAAAAAAUCACUGAAAUAUUUUUUUCUGAGAAGAUAAUUCCUGCGAAUAGGAUGCCUAAAAAAAAUAAUUGUGGCGGAUCAUAAAAAAGUGGUACAUCUUAGAGUGGCUUAUAUUUAGUUGAGCAUCUAUUUUUCUAAAAAAAAGUUGUAUGAUAUACCUAUUAUACCCUUAAUUAAACUAAAAACCUUAUCCAUGGAUUUUAAUGGCUUAAGAAACUUGCUAAUGCUCCGGCUGAACUUAUUUGGAUUCAGUCUUUACUCCAAAAAUUGGGUAUUGAUGCAUAUUCUUGAAAUCUAUUGCCAUAUAUUUUUAAUUAAAAGAUUCUCAAAGCAUGUUCUUGGGACAUUCGUAGAAUCUAUUAAAUCUUCAAGGUCGUGUAGCUACUUAGCAAAGGAUUUUCAAAACAUAUUCUUGAGUUCUAUUAUUGUAUAUUUUCAUACUUAUAUUUACUACCAUUGUAAGUAAUUGUACAAAAAUAUUAUAAAAGAAUAUACAAAUCUCCUCGUCUCUGAAGGUCCAGUAAGAAUUUCUUCACAACUCCUGUUUCUUUUCUUUUCUAUGGAUAACUCUUUGGUCCAAGGAGGGUACCAGAGAGAAAAAAAAAAGAGCAAUGGCCAUGUAUAUACGAGGCAGCAGGUCAAUUGAUAACAUUGGUGGCACAUAAGAAAAGUAUAUUUUUCUUGAAUUAGUGUCUACUUAAUUAAUGCUAUCCAAUGAUGGAACCACCUUUAUUUCGAGCAUCUUUUCUUUUAUGAAAAUUUUCGGCAUGGUAUAACUAUGUCAAUGUCUUCUUAAAAAUCUGAUUACGUGUGAUUCGGGCAGUAGCAUCAUAUAGUGACAUUUGCAUGUAAUGUGGCUCAGAUACGAGACGUUUGUCAGGUGCAACUUGGAAGCCAGUUGUCUCACAAUAAUCUAAUGUCAUGUAGCUAUGAAAAAUCCAAGCAUUGAGAAUUCAACAAGGUGGCAGCAUGAUGUUGAACCCCAAUUAUACCUAGCUCCUUUGGCAUGUUCUAGGGAGAGAUGACCAUAAUUAAAUAAAAUGCACAAGAAGUGCGCAUGAUGGCACCUUAAUGAAUCUCACACCAUUUGUUACAUCUUACAUUGCUUCAUUUUUUAAUCUAGUUAUAGAGAAAGAAGAAUAAUUUUGUCAAUCAUAACAUCUAGAUAAGAUUGCACAUAUAUAUAUAUAUAUAUAUAUAUAUAUAUANNNNNNNNNNNNNNNNNNNNCACAUAUAUAUAUAUAUAUAUAUAUAUAUAUAUACACCUUUCCACACUUGGUUCCACAUAACAAAGUAAUUAAGAAACUGCUUGGAAACUCACCUAUCCAGCUCAAGGAAGCGGACGAUCUCGAGAAGAUGAGAAAGUGGCUAGAUUACUGUUCUUAGUUAUAUACUAUUCUCUUCCCACUCUUUCUUUGAAUAUAUUCUAUACGUAUGUAGUAGGUACAAUUUCUAUAUCGUGUUCAUACAACCGAGCUGUAACUUACAUUGAUUCUUUUCGUCAGCAACAGUAAAUAUAUUGACGGUUUUUUACAUUUUAACUAAGCUUAAAUUAUGAGGGACAACUUCUUGCAUGGUGACAAUUAUCUAAUUAAUGCAUCGAACCAUAAUAAAUGUUAAAAUGCAGUGGACUGCAAUGUCCUUCAUUUGUAUUAUGAUGAAGAUAAGAUUAUUAGUUAUACGGCCUCGCUUUGGAAAUAAAAAUUAGAGAGAGAGAGAGAGAGAGAGAUGGCAUGAGAUUCCUUAAGGAAGCUUCGUGGAUUUGGGAGUGGGACGCUUUCAGGGGCUCAGCCGGGACGUUGAGAGAUGCGAUGCAUGCAGCCCAACAACUUCACUUAGCUGGAUCUCUUCUGGCCUGCAAAGCUCAAACCGCGUAAUGACUCAGCUCUCAGGAAAAGGACAUCUUUGUUGAAGGGAACUCGCAUAUUGGAGCCGGAUAACUAGGCAGCGGUUUGGGACUUCUUAUAUGGGAUUCAUUUCCAAGGAUGAUCUGCUAUGGAACUAUAGAUCUGGAUUUAAUGGCCCUCAACAUUCAUUCAUUCAUUCAUGCAUACAUACAUGUAUAUAUAGUCUCCAUCCAGAUCCGAUCAAAUCUACAUUAGACAACGAGAGUCUCACACGAUUCUCCAAAUUGUUAGAUAUAAUCUACUAUCUCUAAACUGCAUAUAUACCAACAAAAAAAAAACAUAUGAUUUAAAAUCUCUUAACCUAUGCAUCAUUUAAUCAAAAGAAAAUAUAAUUUAACAUUACUUAGACUGUUUACUUUUAGAUGCAUAGAUUAGAUAUCUCCAAAUCAUCCAAUUUUUAGUAUGUAAGUAGUUUAGAGAUAGUAAAUAACAUUCAACGACUCCGAUCAACCUAUAUCUGAUUAAAACUAUGUGGAAAUCCCCACGAGUGUAGCCCAAUCUCUCUCUCUCUCUNNNNNNNNNNNNNNNNNNNNNNNNNNNNNNNNNNNNNNNNNNNNNNNNNNNNNNNNNNNNNNNNNNNNNNNNNNNNNNNNNNNNNNNNNNNNNNNNNNNNNNNNNNNNNNNNNNNNNNNNNNNNNNNNNNNNNNNNNNNNNNNNNNNNNNNNNNNNNNNNNNNNNNNNNNNNNNNNNNNNNNNNNNNNNNNNNNNNNNNNNNNNNNNNNNNNNNNNNNNNNNNNNNNNNNNNNNNNNNNNNNNNNNNNNNNNNNNNNNNNNNNNNNNNNNNNNNNNNNNNNNNNNNNNNNNNNNNNNNNNNNNNNNNNNNNNNNNNNNNNNNNNNNNNNNNNNNNNNNNNNNNNNNNNNNNNNNNNNNNNNNNNNNNNNNNNNNNNNNNNNNNNNNNNNNNNNNNNNNNNNNNNNNNNNNNNNNNNNNNNNNNNNNNNNNNNNNNNNNNNNNNNNNNNNNNNNNNNNNNNNNNNNNNNNNNNNNNNNNNNNNNNNNNNNNNNNNNNNNNNNNNNNNNNNNNNNNNNNNNNNNNNNNNNNNNNNNNNNNNNNNNNNNNNNNNNNNNNNNNNNNNNNNNNNNNNNNNNNNNNNNNNNNNNNNNNNNNNNNNNNNNNNNNNNNNNNAUAUGGCUCCAAUUUGUGGGUCUCACCAGCAUCUCACAUGUUCUCUUUUUCGAUAAAAUCUCACACGCUUUUAAGGUUGCCAACUGCCCUUCUGAGCUCAUUUACGCGUACGCGUCUUGACUUGGGGGAAGCUCCAAAACGCUGGCUGCAGAGGCCACUGUAAUCUCACGCUGUCACACACCAAUUGCUCAUCAUGAAACCUUUUACUCUAUCAUACAACUUUACAACUGAUGUCAUGUGGUGCGAUAUAUUAUAAGGUUUAGCAUUUUAAUUUCGGCCCACGAUGGGAUUCUCUCCGUACCAGAUUUGCAAAAUAGAGCAUCACAUGGAUCGAACUCGGACACAAAAAAUAUCAAAUUUUAAAUAGGUCUGGCCAGAAGCUAGACUAAAAAUAAAUAGAGUUUAGUCUCGAGGCUAGCCUAUGAUCAGUGCUAGUGCAAAGUAGGCGAGCUUCAGCGAGCCAAGCUACCUCAAACUCUGAUUAUAUUUACAACCAGAUGCAGUUCAUGCUGACAUACUUCAUUUUAAAUUAAACUCACAUCUUAAAUUGCUCGUGUCUAGCUCCUCUAAGUAAUUAGAUUGAAGUCUAAAGAUCUCUCAAUCUUGAAAUCAAGACAUUAUUUUAUAAAAUUAUUUUAACUUUCAAUUAAUAAAUAUAAAUAGUAUUUUAUUAAUAAAUAGAAUAAUAUUUAUUUUAUUUAUUGAUAUUUUGAGUUUAAUCAAACUGAGCUUGAACAAGCAAAACAUUUGUCUAGUUUGGUUGAUAUACUUAUUGAGCGAGCGGAACUCAAGCCACAAACUUGACCUGGGAGAUGUAUAUAGGUUAUAGGUUAGAUAUGAGUCAUAUGAGGGUGUUAAGAAUCGGCUUGUUUAUUCCUUAAAUCUUUUCUAGGCUCGGGAAGGUCCUCAUCUGCGUCCUCUCUAGAGUAGAGCUAAUCAUGGGCUAAAUUUGGGCACAAAAAAUAAUAAAUUUUAAAUAGAUCCGGCUCGAAGUCCGAGUAAAAAUAAAUAAAAUUUAGAUCUGAGGCCCGGGGUCUACAAUCAACUCUACUCCAAAGUUCAUUUAGAACAGUAUCUUCAAACCUUGCUGCUAUCUCUCUCUCUCUCUGUCUCUCUGUCUCUCUCUCCCCUCCUGACUCUUUAUUAUAUGACUGAAGACUGUGAUAAGAAAAGCUUCACAUUAUAUAUGACACCAUGCGCUACCUGAUAGAAUCAUUAAAAUAAGGGAGCUGUCUGGAAUGGACAGCAGAACAAUGGGUGAUCCAAUAGUUAAUCAUCCUUGAUAUCUGGGCAGACUUAGGAGAUUAGCUCACUGUGUUUUUUUGUUGGGAAGUCGAAAGAAGGCUUCUCUCAAACUACAUAACAAUGCAUAGAUCAUUGAGUCAAUUAAGGAGGCACUGUCAAUUGGUCACUCAAGUAUGACUGUCAUCCAGUCAUCGCAUGUCUGAAAUAUGGUUUCCUUGAGACUAUACUUGACAUGCCUUAAAUUGGCCUCAGACUCAUUUCUAGCCCGAAUUACUCAAAUAGAUUUCACAAAUUAUCACUCUUAAUCAUGUGUAUUCUUUUUAUUAAUGUGUAUUUUUCCAAUUUAAAAAGGAGCUUACAAUGUCAAUGUACAUCUGUAUUAAAUUCUUCUUCUCUCUUCAUCUUACUUCAUAAAGAUGGCUUUGGUGCUACUGCUAGUAAACUCCUUUUUGCACAGCAUACAUAAUUGUUAGCAGUAGCAUUGCAGCUUUUAAUACGCCAUUUCAUGCACUCUCUCUUCACUAAUAACCUUAUUGCAAGUCCCUAAAAAAUAUUAUCAGUAGCUAGACUUUGGAUAUUACCAAAUGUGCAUCACCUUAAAAAUAGCUUUUCUCAUUUCUAAAUGCAGUGUAUUUCCUUUGUGAAUAAUAAUUGUGGUGUAUAACAUUGUUGAUGCUAGAAAGAGUCACACUCCAAGAAUUAAGCAUAUUAGUAAACAUUUCCAAAAUAAUAGAGGGCCCCCUAGCAAUUGUUACCUUCAUUUCUUUUCUGUUGGUGUAGUACUUUCAAGAAAGCAGGGGGAGGGACAGGAGGGGGUUGGUGAGUAGAGAGCUCCAAGUGGAUGUUCUUAAAACAAAACGCCAAACACAUAUAAUAUGGGACAAAUGAUCUCAUCACUAUAGUCUUAUUAUAAUAAGGUAAACCACUUAUGUUGCAACAAGAAAUAAUUUAAUUUUGUUAUGAUAUUAUUAGCUUUCGAGACUCGUAGCCAAGUAUGAACACUCUCGGCCAACUUUCUCACAGAAAACUUGCAUGUGCUUGUAUUAUAAGAAGAUCUCAGACCUGAUCUCCUUGUAGAACGUUACUGGUCGGAGUUAAUGUUUUGGUGGCCAAAGAUGUAAUGUUCUUCUUCUUUUUUUAAAGAAAAAAGAUUAAAGUGAAAACUGAUAUUUUUUAAUGAUAAUUAGGGUGCUAAUUAGUUGAGUUACAAGAGAUCUAGUUUCCAUCAGACUCUUCAAUUUUGAGUCAACUUUCUCUGAUUUGAAGAAGUUAUGAUUUUCCAAACAAUGAAACAGACUUCCAGAAGAGAUUAGUGAGCUCUAAAGACCAUCUAAGCAUGCAUGUUAAGCAUCUUAACUUUAUUAUGCUCUCAAUCCUUAAUAAUUUCCCUAAUACAACGCUGCAGCUGCACUAGUUAACAAACAUUAGGAAUCAAUUACUGCUUAGAUUCAGCUAAGCUUGGGACACAUCUACCGUCCAGCGCCUGUUGGGACCAGUACCAGACUUAUUUAAUAACAUCUUUUAACCCCUGAUAUCAUCCAUACCGAAGUAGGGAUGGCUAUGAGUUGUAUAUCCACAGAUGACAAGAUUAGCCCUCAUCAUAAGAGGAUAUGGGCAUCUGGAUGAUAGGCGACCAGAUCUUGGUGGGCAUGCGCCCCUUAAUCUCAGCUCAUGGGAUGUCUCAUAUUCCAUUAGUCAUUAUUCUUUAAUGUCUGGAUUUGUAUGAAAGUUUCAGAUAUAUUCUUCUGAAAGGCACCUUCAUGAUCUGUGUGAGGAAUCUAAUUGCGUGAUAGUUUUUUUGAACAGAUGACAACUGAGAUAGUAAAUUCUAAGAGCUUGUUCAAAUAUUUAAUACAGUAGCAUACACCAACAUUAUGGUAGGAAAGCAGGUGGGGAGGAGGAUUUGAUGCCUGUGAGGGAGUGUCUCACACAUACCCAACAUGGCUCAAAGACUCUCCACCAUCCGCCCAUCCUUCUCUUUUAGUAUGUUCUAAUACCCACAUAUAUUAUGUUUCUAUUCUUUAACACAUACGAGUGAGUCAAAACCUAUGUUGCAGGAGAAGUCAUGAAACUAAGAAAAUAGAAACAAACAAAAAGAAGCAGAAAUUAGUCAUUGCGACGGGCAAAAACUUGCAUUAAGAAAAAAAUAAAUCAAUAUAAAACAUAGUAAAUAUCCUAGGAAAUAAGAGUUUCCUCACAACUCAUUUAUAUCAUCACUAGUUGAAAAUUUUAAGAAUAUGAACCCAAAGAAUUGGCAUUUGAAAUCACAGUUGGCUGUUUAAUGCACUUCAGUAGAACAUGUCCGAGCAGAUAAUAUCGUAUCAUCCAAAGAGAAACAUAAGGUCCACCAUUUUAUUAGCUGAUGUAAAGAGAUGAGCAAACAUACGGAUAGGCAUGCACUGAAAGAUUUCAUAGCAAUCUCAAGCAAGGAAUUUCCAACCACGAGGGACAGCUUAUCUGAAGGUCAAUAGUAAGUACGGUGACCUAAUCUACAUAUUUCUAGCCGUCUAGUCUUUUAACAGAAACAUUACGAAUCUAUCUUGCUUUUCAAAUAACUUAAGCGUUUUAUGGCUCCAAAAAAAAAAAAACUCAACAACAUUUUGCUAGUUCUUGCAAUAAUAGUUAAAAUUAGAUCAAAAGUCAGGAUCUAUUAGUUUAACAAUUUUUUAAGUAGUAUGUUAUCAUUAUUAUGAGAUCUUGAUACAAUGUCUACUCCUUAAUGAUGUGGUUACUUCAUUAUUAUGAUAUCUCCAAUCUAUUGAUAAUUUUGGAUGACUUUCGCCAAACUAACUAUGCUCUGAUAUGCCCUGGCAUUUUCUUUCAGAGAGGAGCCUUUACAUGACUUUGAGUGAAAACAUAUAAUAUAAGAGUACCCUCAAUCGCUAAAAAUUCAAUCACAAUGUUGCCACCAUGUUCACAUUGAAACACGCAAAGCAUUUGAUGGUCUGAUCUUUAAACAUACCAUAUUAAACAUACCAAGACCAAUGGUAAAAGAAACAUCACCAAUUCUUCAUACCAAGCAGUAUGAUUUCAUAUCCCAUGAAAGCAAGAUGGUAAACAAGCAACAAUCUGCCAUGGGAACCCCUUCAAUAGAACUUUGUUUUCAAGAAAAUGCAAAGUUCCGGAUUGAGUUAUUAAUAACCACUUUGUAUUUGGUCAGGAUAACAUGAGUGGAUCCGAUAAUAAAACUAAUCAUCUGUUUUUCUGGAAACAAAGACAGCCCACGCCGCUAGCAAUCCUAGAAAACCGAAUAUGCAACAUUAAGCAGUAGCCAUAGAAUGUCAAUCUAAAGAUGGAUCAUGUUCUAAGAGCUCAAUGAUUGUAAGUUCAGAUGCCUUCUCUAGGUCCAAAUAACUAAUAACAGCCUAACCAUCAAGUUGGGUCAUUGGUGACCUAUUAGCUGCUCCAUGUAGAACCAUUACAAACUUAUCAUUGUCUACUUGCAAUAAUUAAGAACUGUUAAGUUACAAAACCUGCCUUGCUACUGGGACAAAUAUCUCAAAUAUUAGUUUACAGAUUUCCAAUUCAUCAGACAAAGUUGUUAUGGCUUCCUAACUAAAAAGCAGCUCUCAUGAUAUAUUUUGAAGUUGCCCCAGAGGACACAGCCAAUCACUUAUAUCACAUGCUUAGAUGCAAGUAUGAGUAGGUGUCUUCUCAAUUAACGACUAGGGAUAGCAAACUUCUCCAAAUGUAUAAUUUCUUAUGCAGGUAGGAGUCCCAUUAAAUUUAUACAAUUGUUUCAUCCAUGGUCUGCCGAACCGGCCGGUACGGGCGGUCCGGCCUCCGACCGGUACCGGAUCAGNNNNNNNNNNNNNNNNNNCAUGGAAUCCGGUACCGGUACUGGUACGAGACCGGUACGGAAUCGGUACAGAUCGGUAUGAGACCGGCGUGGAUCAGCGUUGAAUCCGGAACCAGUACGGAACCGGUACUGUACCGGUCCAGGCCGCCACCGGUACCAGUACGGCGGACCUUGGUUUCAUCAAUAGUGUGAUAAGAAAAAUACAUGACAUAAAACCAACUAUUGAGUAGUAACAUUGACCCAUAUCCUAUUUUUACCAUAAUAAAUCAGGCUAGAUCAUAUUUUGCAAUGGUUAAGUCUGCAUUAGUAUGACGUUUGAGAAGCUGAGGAUGCCCUGCAGGAAAGCAAUCUCCAAGUGUGCGUAUGUCACUGCUAGUAAGUAAACCAAGUGAUACAAAGAAUCAGCAAAAUAGACAAAAAAUGAGCAUUUUGGGAUUGCAGUCUCAAGAUUUGCCCACAAGUAUAUCUCAGUUACAUACAUGAUUACUUUCAAAAAUAGCCUGAUUUUUUAUAAAAAGCAGAUCUAAUUCAUGCUUUCUGCUUUUCGUGAUAUAACAACGUGUCAUUCUCAGGUAGAUAGUAGAUAUAGAUCCAUCUAAAGCCAAUGGGUUUCCCUAAACCAUCAUACGGAAAGACUUUUAAUUUUUGAGAGAGAGUUAAGUUAGGUAAGACUCAAUUUUAUCAAAUGUCCUGGUUCAGUUAUAAGAAUCGAUACGACAUCACAAUUAGUACAGGAUUGCUCAUCAAUUAUCUUUUUAAACCACUACGGUUCUAAAAAUUGAUGUAUCGUCAUUUUAAAGUAUAGAAUUAUAUAUCAAUUACCUUCUAAUCACAAUAAGUGCAGCCUUCUGAAUUCUUUGUGAAAAUAUGUAGGCAUUUUUUUUAAGAGAUACCAUGGUUUACUUGGCAUGUACACCAUCCAUUUCACAUACACAUGCAUAAAUGUCAUUAAGGACCUAAAAGGUUGUGCUGUAUGUAGGGUCGACGACUUAGAGGAUGUAAAAUGCAACAAUAUCUUCCCCCUCUGAUGUGAUAAAAACUGAAAUCAUAGGAACAGUCAAGACAGAGAUCCAAAGUCAGAAUUAUUAGUAAGAAAUUUAAACUAGGUCAAAGUAAGUUUGGUAAAUUGACAAGUCGAUGACUAAGGCAAAGUGAUCGUUGCACGAUAUCAAGGUAAGGAAAGGUAAAAAUCCAUGAAGAUUGGAGUGUCCAGCUCUUGACAUUUGCCAAUGUGGGNNNNNNNNNNNNNNNNNNNNNNNNNNNNNNNNNNNNNNNNNNNNNNNNNNNNNNNNNNNNNNNNNNNNNNNNNNNNNNNNNNNNNNNNNNNNNNNNNNNNNNNNNNNNNNNNNNNNNNNNNNNNNNNNNNNNNNNNNNNNNNNNNNNNNNNNNNNNNNNNNNNNNNNNNNNNNNNNNNNNNNNNNACUCCUGAUGGAGACACAGAUCUUUUUACACCUUGUCCUUGAGAGAGAAAGUUGCAAGCAUUUAGAUUUUAGAAAUUGAAUAUAUGAAUCAAAUAAAAACAAAGCGACCCUUACUUGAAUUUCUGGCUUAUACCCCUCUAUAGCAACACUAGGCCUCUGUCCUCUAUUUGAUGUUACUAAAUUUAGAAAUUGGAAAAACAGAUGACUAAGUGAUUUGAAUUAAGAUCGAAGAAUUUGUUUCUGGUUAUGGUUUUGGAGGAUGAUAGAUUUGAUUUGAGGUGUUUACUAGAAUUUAGAUAUAACCAUAGGCAAAUAGGAAGCACGGCGACCCCUACUUGAAUCUCUGGCUUAUACCCUUUACAAGAACACUAGGCCUCUGUCCUAUAUUUGAUGUUUCCAGAGUUAGAGAUUUGGAGGAAGCUCGGAUGACUUAGGGAUUUGAAUCAAGAUGGAAGAAUUUGUUAGGGUUAUGGGUUUUGGAGGAUGAAAGAUUUGAUUCGAGGUGUUGACUGGAGUUUAGAUAUAAAACAAUAUUCAAAAUGUUUUCUUUCUAUUCUACUAACAAGCUGAAAAAAGAAAGAAAGAAAGAAGCGGGAUUAAUGGAUUAAUAAUCAUACUGAAGAUUAAUGGAUCCAUGGUGAAGAAACGAGAAACCAAGAGGGAAAAGAGAUCCAAAAUCGCAUUUUUUUCACACCAUAAAAAAAAAAAUCGCAUCUUUUUACUUAUAAUGAUGGAUUCACGGUUCAAAUUUUCAUUCGCGAUUAUGGUAACAAUUUUACAAAAAGAGAUUAAUAUCUGGGCAUCAUAUUCUUGUAGAAUUAAUGAUGGAAACGAGAAAUGCAGGUGGAGAAAGAUGCCAAGAUCGUAGCUUUUUACGCAAUAUAGCUUAACUGCUUAAGGGAAUGGAAUGGAUGGAUAUACCCUGGCGGAGAUGGAGGCGGUGCCGUGGGAGUCGUCCGCUCAGACCACGGUGUAGUCGGCCAGGAUGAGGACGUUGGCGUGCAUCUCCUCCGACACGCACUUGGUCCCCGAAGGCGGGAGGCUCCGUCACACCGCCGCCGCGCGCAGCGGCGGCGCCAGCAGCCGCGCAGCGGAGAAUAGCAGCAGCACGAAGUCUGCUCGCCGGAGCACGGCACCCUUCCCCGUCCCCAUCCCUCUCCUCAUUGUCGACUUCUCCACCUAUGUUUUGGUCGCCGAACACAGGAUACGGCACCGGCCGGACUCUCGACGGCUCGACGCUAUUUCCGGGCAAAGCGAUGCGAGCGAAGGCCCCACAAGUAAUUGGCUCAAAUAGGCGGACCCGAGUAAACCCAAACCUCAUUGGUUGAGGUGAACUCAAUUGCAUUCUGGUGGCAAUGGUUGGGGUUUGGUUUAGACUGGAUCAAGGCACGGGCACUUAAACAACAUCCUUCAAUUUAAACCUUGGCAAUUUAAAUAAAAUCAAAAAUUCAAAUCCAAAGCCAUCAUAUUGAUUAAAUAGAUGGCCCAACACCUCAACCAUAAUCUUUUAAUAAAUAUAUAGGUCAAAUUAGGUUAUACAAGUUAAACGAACUUUAGAUGGGUUGGGUUGCAAUCAAGUUGAUCCAACCUAAUUAUUAAAUGUGCCGAAAUAAGUCAAAUAGGAUAGGACUCUAAACUCGAACCGGCUCACUUUAUAGGUGGAUAAUAGUCAGGUCAACUUAUUUAAUUACAACCAACAAGUCUACUUAUUUCAAGUCUGUCGAGUUAGCAUAUUAGAUCAUAAAUUGUCAUCCUAUGUUAACUUAAGUGCUAUAUAUCUUUUCUUUUAAUUUUUAUUUUUCUUCUAAUUGAAUAGUGCACCAUCUUGUACAUGUCUCUCUAGAUCAUGUCUUAGAGUGAAUUUAAUUGAAGUGUCGGUCUCUUGGAUGUCCGUUAUAGGUUGUCGUGCCAUCAUUUUAUUUUGGUGAAUUAUUUGGUAAUUUGAUGUGUCAUUUUGGUUCUAGAGGUAGGGUAGGGUCACACGACAGAUAGUGAUUGAUCUCAGCAUAUGAAGAUAUUUUUGUUAAGAUCCGAUAGUUUGUAUAGUUAGAAGAACUAUGAUUCCUAGUUGCUUCACUUUAGUUGCUUGCCCAGGCAGUCAACUUGCAUUGGUUAGUGAUUUUUUAUUAAGCUUUCAGGGCUUGUUUGAACGAGGGAUGAUGCAAUCCAUGCAUAGCUUUCUAUUCACAGGAACAAGUGAAGAAUUCGAUAAAUCACCCAAACUAGAAGCAGAGUUUGAUUUCAUCAUCAAGCCUUUAACAAGCAAAAUGAGUUUCUCACUCCUAAACUUUACCGGAUUUAUGGUCAAAAUUUUAAGCACAAUUAGCUUAGAGCAAACAAAGAAAUCGAAGAAAACAUAAAUAACUCUGGUUGUUUUCUAUGGAAGUCACCAAUAUUCUGACGCUGCCUAUCACCAUAAAAAAGCUUAAUGCUAUUUAUACUUUAUAUUGAGCUAUAUGAUACUUUCAAUUCAUUCUCAUGCGACCCGCAUCCGAAUAAAAGAAAACAAGAUUACCUACUUAAUCCAAAGAAAAUAUGAACCAUUAAUCACAAUAGAGUUACAAUCCCACGACUAUCACGAUCGUCCAUCCUAUAUAUCACAUGUGCUAGUGCAAAAUAUUUUGACCAAAUACAUGUGAAAUGCCUCCUAAAAUCAUCAUGCUGACUUUGAUUUUUUUCCGCCCUUAUAGAUAGCGUAAGAAGGCAUCCGACUCUAGUGCUGCUUUCUUAUCUUGGGACCGACCAUCUUGGUCUGAACUCUUGUUACCUGAACCAUAAGGAACAAAUUCCAGGCACAUCAGCACCUAUGCGCCCUGAAUCACUAAAACAAGUGCUCAUUUCUUCAUCUCUGUGAACUGGAUUCACCAAAAAAGUAAAAGCAAUCAUAAAGUAGUGUUCCAUGCCAUUCAUUGGAAGUUCUACUACUUUGCAGCAGCAAUCCCAUUUGCAUGGUGCAACGAACUUUUAAGGAGGAUAUUCUAUGGAGAAAGGUGAAGGCUCAACACCUCUGAAAGGAGAAAAAGAUGGCGGGACCAACAACGAGAAUGAUUGAGAUGAUGCACGCAAAUUAGCUUAAAGUACUGUUGCAUUGAGAUGAUAACCUUUAGCCAUGCACGCAAUAUUUUAUCAUAAUUUAUUCAUUUUUGUACAUUUUUGACACCAAGUUGCAUCCGGUCCAUUUCCUUCCCAAAUCAUGCAUAAAGUGCGAGCACUCAACAGCUGAAGGCUCCAUUACAUAAUUAAGAAAGUGACAGCAUAUUCUACUAGUUGCGUAAAGAAAAUGGAGCUAAAUUCUUCAAGGAAUCUCUGCAACAGUGGCAUGGUCGGCAGAAUUAGAUUUAAUGGCGUCGGUCUCAGAUAUCGGUAGCUCGAGCACCCCUAAUUUAUUCUCGUUAUCGUCCGAGGAUUUGGCCAGGUGAUCCUCGCUCUUACCCCAUAUGAGAGAGUAGAGACCAAUAACUAUGAUAGUUGCUCCAACCACCCUAUCAAGUUCAGAGAAGUCAGUGUAUAACCAAACUCUAUAUCACUAUAUAUAGCUGCUAUGAGAUAACAAGAACUCACUCAUACCUUCCUAAAGUGAUCUCCUCUGCUAAAAUGAUGGAGCCCAGAAUAGCUACUAUUAUCAUGCAAAGAGGGUUGAAUGCAGUCACGAAGACAGGGCCCCUUUCUUUCAUCACUAUUCCUUGAACAAAAUAUGCGAUCCCGGAGCACAUUAUUCCCUGCAUUAGAAUCAGUUCAAUUGAUAAAAGUUAUUAGCUCAGGAACAUAAAUACCGGCAUAAGUUUGGUCUGUUCCUAUGAUUUAGAUGCUUCAACAUCUAUAAUUAUCUCAAACAAAGAUCCCAUUGUAAGAAGCAUCUCACGGAGUAAGCAGCCGUUAGGAGUCUCAGGUCAAAUCCUAUCAACCAUGGCUUGGCAGUAUGCUCCAUUACGAGACCAACUGCACCACUUUGCACCAUACCCAUGACGCAUAUCCAGGCGGUCAAGGAAAGCUCUGCCGGAUAGGACUUCAAUGUAUGCGACUGAACCAAAGAAUCAACCAUCAUGGUGAAUUAGUCACCUAGAGAUGUCUACUUUUCUUCUGUGAUUGAAACAUAUAUAAGGCAUUAUUCGAGCUUCAAUUCUGGUGAUGAAAGAGCAUUACUUGUAGCAGAAAGAAAGCAGACCAACAGAAGCAGCUCCACAGUAGCAUAAACACGCCCUCAAGCCAAUGCUUAUCAUCUUGGUUGCCAGUGUUAUUGUUGUGGUGGCUCCGUCGACCCUCUGUCCAUACAAAGUCCACCACCGGUCCUUUGUAUAGUAUCAUGAGCAAUGCACCCACCAGAGUCACCAGAGUCCCAGCAAUCUUGGCUUGGCUGCGCCGUUUCUUGAUAUCUAUUUUCUCCAUUCUAAUCACACAAUGAAACAUAGUUAGCCUGCGGAACUUAGUUUAUAAUUGCGCGAAAAGUUUUGCUUAAGAUAUUUCGAUAGAGAUGGUUGAAGCUAUUACCUGAGAAGAACGGCGUUGACGAAGGUCAUCGCAGGAAGUAUGUUGUAGAAGGCAGAUGAGAAGCUUGCAUUCGUGUUCUUGGUCCCCAUGUAAUAAAAAUUUUGGUCGAGCACAGGCCUAGCAUGGAAGAUGAGGCACAGCAUUAAGGAAGAAGAAGUUGAUUUUUACGAAGUUUGAUCUAAUUAAUUACAUAGAACUUUGGUGGGUGAGUAGAUGAGUACUCUAGUAGUGCUAAAGCCAUUAUCUUGAGGAAGUUGCAGAGUGUCAUCUUUGGCCUCGCUUUCCUGUUGAAGAGAAGAGAGGGACAUGUUGGCCGAAAGAAGAAGAAAGAGACAUGCAUGCAAUUAGCUAGUAAUGCUGCUCAAGUGUUAAAGAGGGCUGUUUUUAAACUAGAACAUUAGAGGAUGGGAUGUGCUCGUAUGUAUACAACGCCCACAAUUAAGUUGUCUCCAUCACCAUUGCAUCAUGGAUUCAUGGGUGUAAUAGUUUGUAGUAUUGCGUUGGUGCAUAAGAGGUUCCACAAAUAAAAGAACUAAGGGUGCAUGGAUCAGACGGACCUUGUGACUCUAAACUCACGCCAUGAUCCAACCAAUCUGGAUUAGACCUGUCUCCUCGAUCUGGCUUUGGUUUCGUGGGUGAGCACAUCAAAUUCGGUGGUGCACAUUUCUUCGUGCUUGGGGUGAAAAAUGGACUGACCAAUCUGCGAACUGGACCCUGAUAGAGGUGCCAGGGUGUUUUUCUUUUGUUUUCUUGAGGGAAGAUUAAUUUGGUUAAGCUUUGGCUUACACUAUGUCAGCUUUGGUUCUAAUGACCUUGAGAAUGAAACUUUUUUUUCCAAAGUAAAUUGAGAAAGCAACUUGUUACUUUGACUGACCUAGUAUUUUAUGUAACAAUCUUUUUUUCGUAAAAAUUAUAAAUUCUUGUGCAUAUGUAUGGGCUUUUGCACGACCAAGGAAAAUAAUUAUAAAUGUUUCACUUUAGCUUAGCAUGAUGUAAAUGUAGAGAGGAAAUUGGUAUAGGUUCAUUUUUAUUGUUUAAUAAAGUUUAAAAGAAGAAAAAUUAUUUUUGAAUCCAAUGAUGUGGAGACUAUGAGAAAGAUUUAAGAUUCAAAUGAAAUUCAAGGAAGCUUGGGUUUAAGACCCACGAUUUCACCCAAAAAGACUAGUUGAAAGAUGUUAUUUGGAUUCCUGAGCUCUAUAUAAGUACUCAAGAUCUAUCUAAUGUAUAAACGAUGUGGGACUAAAUAUAUACAUGCAUAAGUCUUCGUAUACUCUUACCGUUUAAGUUAUAGCAUUCUCGUCAGGCUAAAAGGUCCAAAUUCAGUUAAAUCUAAUCAUAAACAUCAAAUUGACCUAAAGUCGGCCCCACAAAAUAUAAUGCUGCAGUGUCCACUAAUUCAUAUGGGUUAUAAGUCAUGUCUGCAUUGAUAUUAUUAGAAACGACCCAAAAUCUUACCCAGUAAAACAAGCUAUGCAUAAAUAUCCAAACUCUAUACGUAGAAUAGUCAACAUGCAUGGGAAUUCAUGUUAAGAAUAUGCCUGGGUAUGACAGGCCCUUUUGACAAUAUUCUCUUCAUAGAAUUAAGUUUUUGCUUGUCUCUUGGGCUGGUACUAUAAACAAGAAGAGGGGAAAAAAAAGGAAUUGUCGCUCUUUUUAAUUUCUUCAUGAUUCAAUUUUUCUUGGGUACUUUUCGGUGGUCCUUGAUUGUGGGAUCACCCUAAGUCUAGGCUCUUCUUUUUUCUUUCACUUUUUUAAAUUGGCAUGGCAUCAUAAUUCCUUAAUUUUGGAAUGCUUAAUAUUUUAUGAUGGUGCUGAUCCAACUAUCUAUUGGAUUUUUGCUUUUUCUUCAAUGGAGCAAGUGGAACUGUCACCUCUAUAUCACGUAAAAAGAAAAGAAUAGACAAGACAAGAUACGAGGGGGGAGAAACAGAAAAAGAGCUUUCCAGCAUUUACCUGGCUAAUGAAGGGCCAAAAAGAAAAUUUUACCUCGAGCCAAGCUUCCACGUGGUAACACUUAAAUGGUUACUUGAGUCGAGCUUGGAGAAAGUUUCUUAAACUUUAGAUGCGGAGCAAUUAUACCAUGCACCAGGAGCACCACAUCAUCAGAACCCAAAGAGAAUGAAAAAUCUGAUUGGUGUGGUGCACCACGAAGAUGCUGCAAGUCUAGGUCAAGCCUUGACCGGUAGAAACAGGCCCUUUCUUCUUUUUUUUUCUGAGUGGUGACGUAGUUCUAGCUAGAGUCCAACGGGCACCUUCCAUUUUCCUUACUUGUAUCACGACCAAAGUGGUACAUCAAACCAGAUGAAUGGCUUAUCUAAUCUAAUUCAUGACAUGCAUGCAUGUAUUUAUGCAAGUCAUGCCAAUCCUCAGUGCCUACCGGUAACUCUUUCAGAUUCUACGUACUCUAUAUCAUGAGAAUCAUGGUGGAAGUAAACACCAGAGCUAAGACAGAGGGAGGGGGGAGAGAGACCUCUCGAACCACAACGCGAAUGGGGCGAUGAAGGCCGCUGCGAUGGCAUUGCGAUACACCACGAGCACGUAAUGGCUCAUGCCUUGCUUGAGCGUUGCGACCGAGAUCACGUACAUCCCGGCAUACCCAAACUGCAAGAAGACCAUAGCCAAGUAUGGCUUCACCCUGCUCCAAACCCCACCAAACGACAUCCUAUAUAUCUAUCUCCUCAACACCCUUCUCUCCUAACUCCAAUCUCUUAUGGGACUCAAAGCUAAAUGCAGCCUUAUAUAUAUAUACAGCUGAAAAUCAGAUCGCCGCCCUAUGGACCACAGUAGGAACAAUAGUUUUCAAGGGGUGGGGGGGUCUCUCCUAGAUUCCAUUAUUAUCCAUGGACAACAGGAAAGGAGCCCAUUUUCCAAGGACUCUCAGAGGUGAGGUCUGUAAGGUCCACAAUCUUCUCAAGUGAUGUGGUCAAAAGAAAGCUAGCUUUAAGAGGAUGUGGAGAGCUUUCUAUCCAUUCUUUUGGAGUCUUAAUAAAUGAAAAGUAUUGGUGAGUGACAGAUUAAAGGACUGUCUAAUGGAAACAAGGAUUAGUGCAUGCUGAUGAAGGCAGUGCAACUCGAUGCACUCAUCUUAGGAUUUUGAGGUUUUCCUCUUUUUUUUUCCCGGUGCAUGAUCCAUUCCAAUGCAUGCACUUGAUAUAUAGUUGCUUUACCUCAAUCAUGUAGCAAAUAGGAAUCUCUGGAGUUUGACGUAAAUCAUGUGCUGGCCCAAUGACAGAAGUGCAAGGUUCUGCUACGUAGCAUUCGAUUGUAACCUAUGCCUUUAGUUAUAGAGGCCGAUUAAAGCAAAGAGAAGGAAACGGGGCUGCUUAAACCUCCUCAGCUUUUGGUAAAUUGACGUGCGACAAAAUUUUUUGUUUUUGCGACUCAGAUGCUUUUAAAUAUUCAAACAAGUGUACAUCUACGUGAAUCCAAAAAACUUAAAAAAUUGAACAAAAAUAUCUACCGAAGAAAUUCAUAAAAUAGAUUCGAUUGGCUGCACUAUUAGCUUCCACUUAGAUUAUAAAGGAGACUUAAAAGCUAGGACACGUACUAAUUAAGAGUUUUAGCAGACUUUCCGUUCUCUCUGCAGUAGUCUUUGUUUAACCUUUUGAAAAGAAAAGGAAGAAAGAGAAGAGUCUGGCCGAAACACGCCAUGGACUAGUUUGGUCAUUAGCUCCUGCAGCAUCCGGAAACCCCCAUGACAUGGUGACGACAUGGUGUUAAUCUUGUCCCAUCACCUUUUUAUAUGCAAACAUUUUGGGUGCACGCAUACCUUACCAAUUACUUUCCAUAUAAUCAUUAUGCCUGAGAUUAUGCACAUAUACGGAAAAAAAAAAUCAGACAAGAUUGAGCCGCCACAUCUUUACGGAAUAAAUUCUAAAAUGUAGAGGGAUUUCAAACUGAAUCAGAACAUGAACCAACAUAGUCCCGACAAGCCUCUCAAGGUGAUAGGACUACUUUGACCAAGUAACUUUUGAGUUGGAUAAAAGUAGAAACAAAUAAAUGAAGAUCCUUGUGAAGCAAAUUCUAAACUUAGUUUGGUCUUCUUCUUAAUCAAGGGGACUAGUCUAGUUGGUAAAAUUAUUGGGUUCUUGUUUGCGAUGAUUCUGAGUGGCUGGAUAGCAAUAACCCCUUCCAUAUCUCAUAAAAAAUAGAAAAGAAAAGAUGAGUCUUGGGCAAUAAAGGGCCUGUUUGAAUGGCACUAAGUGAGCAUUCAACUUUUCUAGAGCAACUAAGCUUUUGAGAAUAAUCGUAUUAUAUUAGCAAUAUGUACAGUCUCUAUCAUAUGGACCCAUCUUUAAUAUUUUUUUGGAUGAUUGCAUCAUUAAACAAGAACCCUUCCAUGGAUCUAUGAAUGCUUAAAUGCAUCUCAUGCGAUCUCUAUCGUAAGAGACUCAUCUUUAUUUUUUUGGGAUAAGUAAAUCAUUAAACAAGUUCCUUGCAUGGAUCUGCAGAUACUUAAAAUGCAACUCAUGCCGAUAUAAUAUCCUAUUUGAUUAGCAUUAAUCAUGGAAUACAUGCACAUGCAACAUCUCCAUAUAUUGUGUAGCCAUACACGAGCCCCUGCAGGCAGGGAAAGAAGUCCAAAGUAACCCAAGCUACCACCUAAGACCACCUAGCAAAAUGGUGCAUGGAUGCCACUUAAAUUAACAUACGAGUCAUGGCAAUUGCACUCACUUAAAAAAAAAGAGAAGAAAUCAGUAAUUCUACAGCAGGCAGCUCAAAAAUGGUAAUUGCUCUCACCUUCAGUAACCACAUAUGCAUUAAAUAAAAAGACUUUCAUUGAGGAUGCAUUUGGACCCUAAACCAAAAACUUACAUUGCAGAAUGGACAUUAUAUUUCUAUCAUAUAGAUACCUGUUUCCCAUAUAAAAUGUGCGAUAAAAUGAGGAAGAUAGUGGGCACAAUUGCAACUCCUUUCAAUCAGCAAAUAAAUCCAAGGAAUUGGUCGACAAAAGACCACAUCAUUUGUAUAACAAAUAUCCCGUCAGUGCCGAUGAGAAUCUAGGGCUUCUCUGUUGAACUGCAUUCGACAUCUAAUUUUAAAAAGGGAAGGUUGCAUUUAAAAACUAAAGAGGUAACUGAGCAUUCUUAUGCUCUUCAGAGAAUGAAUGCGUAUGAAUGUGAACAAUGAGAGAGACGCAUUUGUAUCUUUGAAACCCAUUUUAAGGGGCAUUGGGCGAGAAAUCGUCCAUAGAUAAUCGAACUAUCAUACGCCUUGGAAAUGAUAUGAGGUGUUCGGAAAUGGUUGAAGUAGUUGAAUAGGAGGAUCACUAUGACUAUAGCCCAUGGUAGAUUUACCAAAGAAGAAAAUGAUUUAUUUGAUAUCCAUCA